GGGUAGUGGACGUGGAGGCUCUUCGUUUUCUUGGUGUUUCAGGGUUUCACUUUGUUCCUAGAGGAGGUAGUAAGGCUCGGAAGUGGUGAUGCUGCCCCUUUCUCUUCACCGGCUUAGAGGACGAGCGUGGUUGAGGAAGUUGAGCGCUAUUAAGCUUCUGUGGUUAGUGUUGUCCUGUCUUUCGUCGGAUCUUGGCUCAGACCGUGUCCCAGCUCGGACCUUGAGGGCAGUCUUUGAGCGGGCUUGUGUUUGUUCUUUUGAGAGAUGACAAAUUGUUCAGGUAGCCGGAUGAAUCAGCUUCUUGUGAGUGUUGUGCUUUCUCGUUCACUAGUCUUCGGUCCUCUCCCUUUAAACCUGUCUCGGCUUGUCUUCUCGCUCGGACUUCUCAAGUUUGUAUCAUUACUUUUGGUCAUGUUCGCUCCAACGCAGAACGGCUAAAGUAUUGAUUGAUUUUGUUUCCAUGUUUUUACUUUUUUUGCCGUGGAAACAAGUUUUGAGAUCUUCUAGUUGUUAAUCACAUCUUGUAAAAUCUCAACUUUCAUUAUGAAAUGAUAUUUACAAUUUAGCAAAAAAAAAUAAAAGAAACAAUAUAUUAUAAUUUUGAGAUUUUCUAUCUUAUAUCGUGCAGAUCACUUGGUCGAGGUUUUUCGAAUCUCAAAUAUUUUUCAGAGGUGGUUGUAGCAGGGGAAAAGAUUACCAAAAUGAUAAAAAGAGUUCCGGGUAUUGAUUCGGACAACAUGGAAGGUCAAGUUCUAAAUAACUUUAAAGGAGAAGUACACUUUAACCAUGUGAAAUUUAUGUACCCCUCUAGACCUGAAACCCCAAUCUUUGAGGAUUUAUGUUUGAGAAUUCCAUCCGGAAAAACUGUGGCUCUGGUUGGUGGAAACGGGUCGGGAAAAUCAACUGUUAUAUCGCUUUUGCAGAGGUUCUAUGACCCAGUCGCAGGAGAGGUUCUAAUAGAUGAUGUGCCCAUUAAUAAGCUGCAGGUGAAGUGGUUGAGGUCCCAAAUGGGUCUAGUUGGCCAAGAGCCAGUGCUCUUCGCCACAUCGAUAAAGCAAAAUAUAUUAUUUGGUAAAGAAGAUGCGUCCAUGGAUGAAGUAAUGGAAGCUGCAAAGGCCUCAAAUGCUCAUACUUUCAUCUCUCAGUUCCCUCAUGGUUACAAAACUCAGGUCUUCUUUUUUUUGGGAUCAAAUUUAUAUUCCACUUAAUAGACCAAACCAGUUAUGUUUGUUAUAGAUAGUUGGACUAAGCCGUAUUUUUAAUUCUUGCACGAAAAGGUUGGAGAGAGAAGAGUGCAAAUGUCAGGAGGUCAGAAGCAGAGGAUCGCAAUUGCACGUGCGAUAAUCAAAUUACCAAAAAUUCUCCUUUUAGACGAGGCAACAAGUACACUAGACUCAGAAUCAGAAAGGGUAGUCCUAGAAGCCUUGGACAAUGCCUCUGCUGGCCGUACAACUAUUGUUAUUGUUGCACACCGCCUAUCUACUAUUCGUAAUGCUGAUGUUAUUUGUGUAGUCCAUAAUGGCUGCAUUGUAGAAACUGGAUCACAUGAAGAGCUCAUGGAGAAUUUGGAUGGUCACUAUACUUCUCUAGUUCGCUUGCAACAGAUGGAGAAUGAAGAAUAUGAUGUUAACAUCAGUGUAAGGGUGCAAGGGGGGCAAUUAUCGAUUUUGAGCAAAGAUUUAAAGUAUAGUCCAAAACUCUCUUUUGUCGAUAGCAGGUCUAACUUGGCAACAAAUUCAACCAUUGAUUCGAGUCUUUCUGGUUCGAUACAUAAGGAUAAGAAGACGCGUGUGCCAUCGUUUAAGAGAUUGAUGGCAAUGAAUAGACCAGAGUGGAAACAUGCAAUGUGUGGUUGCUUAAGUGCAGCUUUUUAUGGGGCCGUACAACCACUAAACGCAUAUGUUGAAGGAUCAAUGGUGUCAAUGUAUUUCCUAACGAGUCAUGACAAGAUCAGGGAGAAAACAAGGAUCUACGUGUUGGUUUUUGUUGGUCUAGCUCUGUUUGUUUUCUUGACUAAUAUCGUUCAACAUUAUAGUUUUGCUUACAUGGGCGAAAACCUAACAAAACGUAUCCGAGAAAAGAUGCUCACAAAGAUGCUGACCUUUGAAGUCAACUGGUUCGAUGAAGGCCAGAACUCCAGUGGUGCAGCUUGCUCAAGACUUGCGAAAGAAGCUAACUUGGCAUGUCUUGCGCCCUAUUAAUUUAAACUUUAGUGAACAACUCUUUGAACAGUUCUUGAUUUUCUAAAGUUUUUUUUAUCACAGGUGAGGUCGCUGAUUGGUGAACGGGUGUCAUUGUUGGUACAAACCAUAUCGGGAGUGGCUAUAGCUUGCACACUUGGUUUGGUCAUCGCUUGGCGAUUAGCCAUUGUGAUGAUUGCGGUACAACCAGUUAUUGUUGUGUGUUUCUACACUCAACGCAUUCUGCUCAAAAGCAUGUCCAAAAAAGCAAUUAAAGCCCAAGAUGAGAGUUGCAAACUAGCCGCAGAAGCUGUCUCCAAUAUUCGAACCAUCAUAGCUUUCUCGUCACAGGAACGGAUUUUGAAAUUACUCAAUAGGGUCCAAGAGGGUCCACGGAGAGAAAGCGUUCGCCAGUCGUGGUUAGCAGGGAUUGUGCUGGGGACUUCCCGAAGCCUUUUAGCAUGCACAACGAUUUUGAAUUACUGGUAUGGUGGAAGAUUAAUAGCAGAUGGAAAAAUCGUGGCAAAAGCAUUCUUUGAGAUGUUUAUGAUCUUUGUGAGUACGGGCCGGGCUAUUGCAGACGCUGGGACCAUGACUACCGAUCUAGCCAAGGGCUCGGAUGCAGUUGGGUCUGUGUUUGCAGUGUUAGAUCGAUGUACAACCAUUGAGCCGGAGGACCCAAAUGGCUAUCUUCCGGAAAAGAUAAAGGGAAUAAUCAGGUUUGUCAACGUGGACUUUGCUUACCCCACCCGACCAAAUGUGGUUAUAUUCAAGGACUUUUCCAUUGAGAUAGAGGAGGGAAAGUCGACAGCUAUUGUAGGUCCAAGUGGGUCAGGUAAGUCGACAAUAAUUAGUUUGAUCGAGCGGUUCUACGACCCGUUAAAGGGUUCUGUGAGAAUCGAUGGCCGUGAUCUAAAGUCGUAUCAUUUGAGGUCGCUUCGUCAACACAUAGCUUUGGUUAGCCAAGAGCCAGCUUUAUUCACCGGGACUAUCCGAGAGAACAUACUGUACGGAGCAGCAUCUGAAAACAUCGACGAGUCGGAGAUCAUAGAGGCGGCAAAGGCAGCAAACGCCCACGAAUUCAUCACAUCACUAUCGAACGGCUACGACACGAACUGCGGAGACAGAGGAGUACAACUAUCGGGUGGGCAAAAACAGAGGAUUGCUAUAGCUCGUGCGGUUUUGAAGAACCCGUCCGUGCUGCUCCUGGACGAAGCCACGAGCGCUUUGGACAGCCAGUCUGAGCGCAUGGUCCAGGACGCACUCGAGCGAGUGAUGGUCGGGAGGACGAGCGUAGUGAUCUCGCAUAGGCUUAGCACGAUCCAGAACUGCGACACGAUCGCGGUUUUGGACAACGGGAAAGUAGUUGAAUGUGGAGACCACUCGUCCUUGUUGGCAAAGGGUCCUACAGGAGCUUACUUCUCAUUGGUCAGUCUCCAAAGAAAUCUCUGUUGACUGUCAAAGAUGCCGUUUUGCUUUUUCUCAAAAACGGAAAGAAGAUAAAGUGAAGAAAGAAGAUGAAGAUGAAGAGCAGGAAAACCAAAAAAAUGUAUACUUAGUUUUUUUCUUGCAAGUUUUGCAUUCACUUAUGAAGUUUUGUUGCUGUUAAUGUAAAGAAAACCAUGGUAUCAAAGAUUUCAAGAGAAUUAAACAGAAAACGUAAUAAGUGUUGAAGACACUAGAGGACUAGUGUUUGCUUCAUCAUUACGCAUUUAGUAAAAUUUCUAUAGUAAGUGGUUUACUUAUAUCCUCAGAGGUGAAAGUAGACGUCUUACGAUUUUGGAACCUGAGUAAAUCAAUCUUCCCUCAAGCAACCCACAUGUAAGAUUCUCUUUAACUAAGACACCACCAUAUCCUGCCAAAAAAAUGAAACAAUAUUGUAAACAUGAAAGAUUGCAGAAGAAAAUGUAAGAAAUUACAAGCUCAGUCUAUAUAUAUUACUCACCUUUACACUCUCACAAUAAAUUUGACAAUAUAAUCAAAGUCAUGUUAGCAGAUACUACACAGCUAAGUAAGACAUGGUUUUCUGAUCAUCACUACUCUCGUCACCAUUGUAUAAAAUUGUUACAAGUCGUAGUUAGCCGAACAAGCUAAACGCAAGUCUAAAUGUUUUAGGAUGAGAACUCCAACUGAAAAGAAGCAGAACCUAUAUAUGAUGAUGUAAUUUCGUGACUACACGGUUUACAAAGUAUCAUCGAUAAAAUUGGAUGCUCAAUAGACUACAAAAGUCUUAACAAUAGAAUGGUUGGUUCAGCCUGUCUAAAAGGAAUCAGGUAGGUCUAUAUGUGAUUGAUGGCUUCUAUUUUUCUUAACUUUGAGAUUCUUGAAAGCGUUUACUGAUGUCUGUUAUAUGGUUAGACUAACAGAUAUCAACCAAGCUGUAGGAUAACUAGAGUAAUAAAGAAAUAUUUGAACUCAGAUAUGUCACAGACCUUGUGUCAAAAUACCCUAUAAUCCCACAACCGUAAAUACGAAAUUAAAAGCUUUUAGUUACAGUAUCUUGAUAUCAUUUCGAGAAAAUUAUUUGUAAAAUGAGUAAAUAGUUUGUAAGGUUCGACAUACCUGGUCUCCUUGGAGAAGUAAGCUCAAGACUUCCAACCUUUCUGCCUGGCAAUGUUGGCAUCGGCAUCUCUUCUGCAGCUCCUCCCCCAGUGAAGCCAAUGUCUGUUCCAGCUCAGAACUCUGCGUGUUGCACGUCAAGGAAACUAUUCUUCUGAAAGAAUGGCAAAUGAGAAUAAAAGUACAAGCAUUCGCUUGCUCUUAAAUUUUAGCAAAAGAAUGGCUGAUGCAGAGUAGUAGACUGUCUCAAUAGAAACAAAAGUAGUUGGUGCAGGUUAUAAACCACGCUUCACUAACUACCGAGAAUAAGGAUAUUCAGCGAGAGCAUGCACUGAGUUUGUUUUCUCUGUUAUGGCCUCCAUGAGUGACAUCUUCUUCUCAUAUUCAUCAAGCUCUUUCUGCAGCUACAGAUAGAAAAAUAGAGUUAUCAAACGAGUUUGUUCACGUCAUAGAAUGUUUAAAAACAAGUUAGAGCAGGGAAUGGAUAAUAGACUGAUACAAAGACUAAACCACUACCUGUUCUUUUAUGUUCUGCUCCGCUAAGUAUCCUUCCUCCUCUUUUGCUAAUUGAGAAUUUACAUCAGAUAGCAUAUCCUUGAUAGCUUGUGAAUCAGCUCCAUGACCAUCCUCAAAAACUUCAACAUCUGCUAUUACGGAAACAUAUCCACAAGCCAUUCAUAAGAAGUGAGAAAAUUGACAAGAGUAAACAGAAAAAAAAAAGGCUACUCACUUGCUGUUAUGCUAGUACUAUCAUCAUUUCCCACACUGGAGGCUACAGUUCUCUGGAACACCCUAUUAGAAAGCAAUCAAUUUUAGAUGUGUACAGGCAGCAUAAGGUGAACGCCAAUAGACUAGAAAACAACCUUAUUUCCUUGUUCAGCUCAACCAUUUGGCUUAUAAAUUGAUCUCUGCAUAACCAAAAAAGUAAUAAGGAAUUACUAAAACACAAACUUAAGCUCAUGUAAAUAAAAUUAAGAUGUUAGAAAGAAGAAAUCACCUAAGUAAUCCUUCCUUGUUCUUUGUUUCGCCAUCCACACAAAAAAAGUUCCAGAAUGUCAUACAAAGACAAUAAUCAAAACCAAAUGCUCUAAAUCUUCUACAAUAGAUCAUAUAAGCAAAACCUUGAGAGCAUCUACUUCAUUGCCAACAGUAGAAACUUCAUCCUGAAGAAGAGCAAUCCUUGCCUGUGAAAAAAAAAGUACACUAACGAUAAGAAACAGAUCCUGUACAUGUUAAUCGAGCUGAACUAAGCACAAAAUAGAAACCUCAAGAGAUUGAAUCGUAGCAUCGUUCAAAGACGAUUCAACUUCGUAGCCGUUGAGCUCCUCUUCCGCCACUUCUUUGAUUCGUUUCGCCUUUUCAACUUCUUCGUUCGCUGCUUCAACUUCCGAUUGCAGAGACUCGAUCCGCUUCUUCAAUCCAACCACUCUUUGCUCUUAACCAGAAAAUCACAACCAUAAUUUCACUAAUUACAGAAACUAUCAUGCUCGAAUCGCAUACAAAUCAUAUCCAAACCCUAGAUUUCACAAAAAUUUCAAUCAAAACGCAGAUCAGCUCCUAAUUUUUCAAAAUUUUCUUCCGAUUCUUCGCCGUUGUCUUUCUCUACGAAAUCUCGAGACUGAAAACAAAAGCUAGAGAAAGUAAGAGAGAUGAUCUUACCUCCACGAGAUCUUUCAGAGGUGAAGUCGCGGAUCAGAGAGAGAAGCUGCUUCUGCGUAUCGAUUCCCGCCAUGGUUUCUUCGUCGCUGGAAAAAUAUCUCACUUCCUUUCCGUUUUGAAAACGUUUGCGUCAGUGGGAGGCGGAAUAAUCAGAUAAUCUUCGGCCCAUGUAUAUGGAGCCCAAACUUCUAGGCCCAAUUAUUUUGGCGAUAUUUUAAAUUAGGGGUCUAGCAUUAUAGCUGGCUCAAGUGCUACAUGUACAUGCACAUGCACAUCCACGAUUUAUUCUAGUUUUGUUUAUAUAUUCUUUUUGAAUACUGACGGACAAAUUAAACACAAAUUAAUAAUUUUGUUGUGAAAAUUUAGAUAAUUACACAAAACUCACAAUAUAGAACUGUUCAGAAUAGUAUAAAUAAGAUUCAGGAGUGGUCAGGACUAAUAUAAUAAUAUGCUGUUUCAGUAAAUAUCAUAUAAAAUGAAUGUGGGACUAUGAAAACUGUUCGAUUUACUGUAUGUGCCACACUAUCUAUCAUCCAAUAUGUUCCGUUACCAAAAUAUCUAUAGAGCUAUAUACCAAAAAGGGUCUAACAACAGAAUACACCAUGGCACUGUUCUGGGAGGAGAAUCUGCGUGAACAGAUAUAAUUUUCGUAGGAGCCACGUUGAAUCCACAAUAUUUUUGAGUGUUAUUUUUCCAAGCUAAGAUUUAAUUACGAAAUUGACUAUAUUGUAAACUAUAAUGGAAUACACCUUGAAGUAAUUACUAUGUUUCAUUAGUUAGACAAAGUUAUUAUUAUUGUUUUAUCUGUGUUCUUGUUUUCAAUGUGUUCGAUCGAUUGUCUCAUCAAGGAUGAGUAUUUUGAUAGUGGUUAGUGCGAGUACUUUGGCUGAAGAUUGAAUGCAAAAAUCACAACAUAUACAAACCAAAAGAAUCACAACAAAUACAUAUAUCUGAAACACGUUUCUUGAAGUUCGAGCUACCUUUAAAACAAAAUCAUAGCUGCAUGACAAGUUUGAGUUUGGACUUCGACCAUAAAUAAUUAUUUGGUAGUUUGUUACAUGCGUUUCAAUUACUUCUGACAUUAGUUGAAAAAUAUUUUAAACUCGGAUUAAACAGUAUAGUGAUCACUCAGAGAGAAAUCUAUUAUGUAGAACUAAAUGUAUUUUACCGAACUGAUCAAAUCUAGAACAUAUCAGAAAACAUAUACAUAUAUAGAGAGAUAUCUGUAUCAUCCAAUAUGAUAUUUAGUAAAGUGUUUGAAGUACGACAAUGAAUAAUCGAACUAAACAUGAGUUUAACUAGUGGCUAAAACUCCGAAAUUACCUAGUAGGAAUCCAAAGGGUUAUAGGUUCAGUUUCCGUUGGGAGGAUCUUCUCUUUUAAAAGAUUUAAUUUAAAAUGGUAUAAGUCUCACCUUAGAGAAUAUACAUACCUUCGGAUCCAGAACUUCUAGACAUUCAAAAAACAAAUUGAAUUCGCUGGAAAAAUAUCUCACUUCCUUUCCGUUUUGAAAACGUUUGCGUCAGUGGGAGGCGGAAUAAUCAGAUAAUCUUCGGCCCAUGUAUAUGGAGCCCAAACUUCUAGGCCCAAUUAUUUUGGCGAUAUUUUAAAUUAGGGGUCUAGCAUUAUAGCUGGCUCAAGUGCUACAUGUACAUGCACAUGCACAUCCACGAUUUAUUCUAGUUUUGUUUAUAUAUUCUUUUUGAAUACUGACGGACAAAUUAAACACAAAUUAAUAAUUUUGUUGUGAAAAUUUAGAUAAUUACACAAAACUCACAAUAUAGAACUGUUCAGAAUAGUAUAAAUAAGAUUCAGGAGUGGUCAGGACUAAUAUAAUAAUAUGCUGUUUCAGUAAAUAUCAUAUAAAAUGAAUGUGGGACUAUGAAAACUGUUCGAUUUACUGUAUGUGCCACACUAUCUAUCAUCCAAUAUGUUCCGUUACCAAAAUAUCUAUAGAGCUAUAUACCAAAAAGGGUCUAACAACAGAAUACACCAUGGCACUGUUCUGGGAGGAGAAUCUGCGUGAACAGAUAUAAUUUUCGUAGGAGCCACGUUGAAUCCACAAUAUUUUUGAGUGUUAUUUUUCCAAGCUAAGAUUUAAUUACGAAAUUGACUAUAUUGUAAACUAUAAUGGAAUACACCUUGAAGUAAUUACUAUGUUUCAUUAGUUAGACAAAGUUAUUAUUAUUGUUUUAUCUGUGUUCUUGUUUUCAAUGUGUUCGAUCGAUUGUCUCAUCAAGGAUGAGUAUUUUGAUAGUGGUUAGUGCGAGUACUUUGGCUGAAGAUUGAAUGCAAAAAUCACAACAUAUACAAACCAAAAGAAUCACAACAAAUACAUAUAUCUGAAACACGUUUCUUGAAGUUCGAGCUACCUUUAAAACAAAAUCAUAGCUGCAUGACAAGUUUGAGUUUGGACUUCGACCAUAAAUAAUUAUUUGGUAGUUUGUUACAUGCGUUUCAAUUACUUCUGACAUUAGUUGAAAAAUAUUUUAAACUCGGAUUAAACAGUAUAGUGAUCACUCAGAGAGAAAUCUAUUAUGUAGAACUAAAUGUAUUUUACCGAACUGAUCAAAUCUAGAACAUAUCAGAAAACAUAUACAUAUAUAGAGAGAUAUCUGUAUCAUCCAAUAUGAUAUUUAGUAAAGUGUUUGAAGUACGACAAUGAAUAAUCGAACUAAACAUGAGUUUAACUAGUGGCUAAAACUCCGAAAUUACCUAGUAGGAAUCCAAAGGGUUAUAGGUUCAGUUUCCGUUGGGAGGAUCUUCUCUUUUAAAAGAUUUAAUUUAAAAUGGUAUAAGUCUCACCUUAGAGAAUAUACAUACCUUCGGAUCCAGAACUUCUAGACAUUCAAAAAACAAAUUGAAUAAUUACUAUUCAUUAGUUCAGAAGCAGUACUUUGAAAUAUAUGAAAAGCAUCCAUUAAUACCGCAGUGGUAUGUAUUAGUUACUCAAAACAACUAUUAAUAGAUUGAGGUUUGUGUUACAAAAAAAAAAAUUGAGUUUUAUAUAUGGAAAAUAUUAAUCCCUUGACAAAAAAGCAGUAUAUAAUAAUAAUCUAUUGUCGGUGUACACUUUGAAGGAUGAUGUGAGUUUCAGUGGUAGUGAAGGAGUGAUAUAUAAUCACUACUGGUAGGACAAGUUGAAAAGCAAUUGGUUAUGACUGAAGGGUGAUGAGCCUUUUGCCACUUAUGGAAACCUGCAACUCAUAUGAUUUGCUGGAUAUGUUGUGCUCAGCUUGUUUAGUGAAUGUAUAGUUCUGAGUAAAGUGGAGUUUGGCUUUCCUUCACCUAAGACAUGAUAUGACAUGACAUGUAUUAUAAGCACCCACUCAUACUCAUCCUCAUACUCAUACUCACACUUUCAAGUUCCACUUUCCUUUUUUCCUUUUCUCAUCAACAGUAUUAUAGCAUGUAAAUGAAAGGUUGUUUGAUGUUUUAAAUUCUUUUGAAAAGAUGUAUACUUGUGUUUAUAUAAGUAAAUAUAAGUUAAAUGUAUUUAAAUAAUAGUGUUCCAAAAAAUUGUAUAUUUACAUAAUUAUGAGAUUUUAUAUAGCUUUUGAUUGUUCAAUGGCGGAAACUUAAAUUAGCAUUUAGUUUAAACAUAGCGUUUUUAUUGGCUAUGUGGCUACUGUAUAUGGUGAAUAUGAAGAAGCCUAAAUAUAUUAGUUUUAGAUGGAAAUACAUGCAAUCAAUGGAAUCAAGAAGUUUUGCAAUUUGCACUAGAUCAUGACACUCUAGCGAAUGGUUGAAUUCUCAAAGUCCCCACAAAGUUGUACCGAUCAAGCAAGUCAAUGACAAGAUAAUUAACACUUGUAUUAAUGCUGAGCCUUCGAUUGUCUCCAAAGCAAUCAUUUUGCUAAUGUCGUAACGGCUCUGGAAUUACAUUUCAAGCUUUAUUGAUAACAACAAUACAGGAUCUUUGAAGCCGAAAGUUAUACAAGAGUGAAAUUGGAAGGGCAUGCAAUUGUAAAGUUGCUGAAUGCUUGGAUGGUACACAAGUGGAUUUUGGGAUUCACAAGAAAAGUGAGACAUUGGCUUUGAAAGCUUGAAGAAGUGGGAUAAUUUAAGUUCAUCGACAAGGAAAUAAAGUUACAGUUGUCUUUUGAUUAAUUAUUAAACUCGAACCAUAAAUAUCUAGUUGAAGUCACACUUGGCAGUGGAAAGCAUGGGUUAUAAACAUGGCGGUAGACAUGAAGCACUGAUUAUAUAUAUGUCACUAUCAUAAUGCAUCUUUCUUGGCCAACUUGGAAUCUUUAAAGGAAAAGCAGUUUUCUAAAAUGUGGUAUAUGCCAAAACGUUCAAAAACUUAAUUUAUCAUUAAAACGUUGGAAAUAAGUGCGUGUAUAUAUCAUUUUAUCUAUAACUUUUAUAGGUUUAUUUUUAUAGCAGAACAAGUUCUAGGAGUCAUCUAGACAAUACAAACGUCAGGCACUGUUGGGUCACUUGAGAGCGAUUACCGUUUUUUAAUCUUACAAUCGACAAAAGAAAUGAGAUUUCUUUGGUUGCUUAAAUUGCGUAUAAUCGAAAUAAGAAGUGAAACAUAAAGAAGGUGAACAAUGUGUCCCCCACUAGUUUCAUUCUUUGUGUGCCACUAGAUUUUGGACGCAAUAUUCAAAUCAUUACACUUUGGCGAAAUUUAGGAAAAUCUUUUUUUUUCCACUUACUUCACUAGCUAUCUUAUGAUCGAGUCCUACGAGGGAGAAUACGGAUCUCUGAACAUGUUAACGGUAGAAUUUGGUGACCAUAACCCAAAAUUAAAGGUCAAUAGUUAGCAUAUAUAAUAAUAUUGAUGCUUAUGUGUUGGGUGUACAAUCAAACAAAUUAGAGAUUUUGAAUCUUAAUACCCAACUGAAACGCUAUUGACAAUUUUACGCAUUUGGCUUGAGUUUAAGCAGUUUGUUAUAAUUAAUUUUUAUCUAUAUUUAUAUUAUUGUAUAUACCCUAAUACUUGAACUAUACAUCACUUAAAGUGAGUAUAGGUUUUCAAAUAGUACAAUGGAACGAGCAAGUUCUUUAAUAGCUAAACUAGUUAUUUGUUGAGCUAUUAGGGACCAAUAAAUAGAUAGUGUGAUUUCAUAUGAUAGUUAUAUGUCGUCACUAACUAUAACCUCUAAUUACACUACUGGGUUCCACAUAUUUGCCUCUGUCUAUUUUUAUUUCCAUUCACACAACCGUGUUCUCGGAUUUAGCAUUAAUGAUUGUACUUGGUAAGAUUCAAUCAAAUGAACAAAAAUCAUUUCAAUGACUUUUAAACAAUUAUUCCAUAUGGUAUUUUUGUGAAUAGAUGUUCAAACCUAUUGAAAAGUGAAUUUGUAAAACAUAAUUUCAUGAUAUCUUAGUAUAUCUUCACUAGUCUAUAGUAUGAUUUAGUGUGAUAAGACUCUACCAACGAUGUGUUAUUGUGCAUAUUCAAUAGCAUAAUUAGCUUACAGAAGCUAGCUGGUGCCCUAACGAUAUACAUUACUUAAUAUGCUGCUCAGAUGGUUUUAUCUACUUAGACUACUUUUGAGUUAGUGGUUAAGUUUGUGAGUUUUUAUUUUCAUAUGAUAUGUUCGAGUCGCAUGCUCUUUUCUAUAAAUUUCUACGCUCUCUCGGUCUCCCUUUGUUUAGGCCUCUUUCACUGAUUGCACUUUUUUAUCUACCUUAAUAGUUAAUACCUAAUAUUACAUUUAUUUUUAUUCUAUAAUGUACCAAAGUUUUAAAUUUAAAUUAACUGAUACAUACGAAUUUAAAGUGAUAUAAGAAAACCGUGACUAACAUACAAAUGAAAGUGAAUAAAAGUUACUAAAACUUAAAAGCUAUUCAGUGAUCUACUUCUGUGUAGAAAAUCCAAAAUAAUAUCUUACACCAAUCUUGUAAUUAUAUAACUUUUUUUUUUACCAGGAAAAUUAUCUAACCUAUAUUCUGUUUCUGAAGUUAAAAAAAAAGGUUAGUGUAAUCAUUGAAUUAGUAAUAACAAAGAGUGAUGUUGUAAGAAUUCCAAUAUAUAAAAUUAAACAGAAGUCAACGUUUACAUAAUUUAAGCGAAAAAGAGAAAACGUCACCACAUACGUAUAAACCCUGGAAAUCACCCACGGGGACGGUAUCAUUUGCCCCAAUAAUGAGUGUUUAAUAUAUUAUACGUGUUAAUUCAGAAUUAGGCAUAUCAUUUUUUAUUUAGAUUAGUGAUCUGGAUCUAUACCAAUUAACUUGAUGGAUGAGUGAGUUUUGAUCGAUCUAUCAUGUUAACAUGAAUCAAAGCCGAUAGACAUAGUGAUCCAUGCAUAACUCGGUUGUUUAACAGAGAACGUUCUUUACGAACUUAUGCACUGAGAUACUAAGUUGUCAACUCCCAUACUACCAAACGCGAACGACAUGUCAAUUAUUUGAUGAUAAAUUGGUGAUAUGUAUAGAAAAAUGAAGGAGAUUUUCUAUUUGUUUAUUUCAUACUAUGAAUUUAUUUUACCAAACUCGAAUAUAUAUUAAUAUAUAAUAACAAUCAAUAAUAAAGUAAACUGUAUAAAACAAAUCACUAUACAUUAAUAAUAUCGAAUAAAAAACAUAACCAAUAACAUUAUAGAUUUACACAAUAUAUAACACUAAAAUGUAAAUUAUAUCUUUGAAAGUUUUGCGAUGGUAUCUGUUAUAUAUUUGUAAAAUGAAAAUCUACCUGCACAUGAAAAAUCUAGUAUUUUAUUAUACAAGAAGGUUUGUGUAUUAGGGUUUAUGAUUUGCAAGGACGUAUAGACCUAAUUCGAGUUGCUCUUUGAUAUAGAUAAUUAAUUCAUCACCAUUCAAGAAUGAUUUUUUGGGCUGUCCAAUGUUUAAAUAUUCGUGUUAUAAUUGAGAAACUUAAUUUUAAAGAGCAUCAAAAGAAAAAAAUAAAGUUAGAUUUAUUAUUCUGGAAACUAAUGUAUCAUAAGAAAACAACUUAGUCAUCCGCACAUUCGUACAAGUUUUUUCUCUUUAUAUAUACUAAAACAUUUUAGUUUAUAUAACAAAAUUUAUCACUAAAUUACCUAUAUGUUAAUUAUAACUCUAUAAUACCAAUAUUUAAGUGGUUUAUAUUGUUAUUACUAUACAUUUUGUAACAAAAUUUAUUUUCAGAACAUUAUUAUGUAACAAUACUAUUUUAAAUAAUUUUUAAUUUUAUUUAUAAAUUCGAAAUAUAUAUGGGAGUCAUAUUAAAUCAGGCCUACAUAAUAUAAAAUAAAUAUUUUGAGAUAUUGUUAAAAAUAACAAAACCUAUUUUUAAAAAGGAAACUAUAAUAUAUUGUACAUGCAAAGUAAUUUUGUAGUAAAAAACUUAUAUGAAAAAUUGCUUGAAAUACACAAAGUUGGAUAAGAUUUUUUAUUUUAUUUUAUUUGAAAUAGAAAUGGAUAUUUCUUUCUAACAAAAUCUUUUUAAGAUUUUUGUAAAAUGAAUUUCUGGAAAUUAUUUAAUUUAAAUUUUUGUUAUCAUUAAAAUAAAAAUAUAAUAUUCGAUAUUAUUUUUUCAUAAAAAAAAUAAUUUGAAAUUCUAAUUUUAUUUUAUGAUAGUUAAAAUUUAAAUUAAUUAAUUUUCGGAAAUAAAAUUUUAAUUGAUUCUGAAAGAUUUUCUUAGAUUUUUUAAACAAUAUUUAUUUGUAUUUUGAAUAAAAGAUAAAAAUAUUAAAGAUAUAAUUAUUAAAAUAUGAAUUAUCACACAUGAAAAAAGUCAUGAAUUAUGUUUUGAUAGUAUAGAUAUUGGUAAUAUAUAAUAGGUACAUAAGUUGAUAUGUAGUAAAUAGUAAUGCACAUUAAUCUUGAUCGAAGUAUAGAAAAAUAUGUAAAACUAUAACUACCAUAUCAUGUCCAGAUUAUGUAAAAAUAAUAUACCAUGAUAUCCGCACAUACCAAAUUUUUCCAUUUAUUGACAAAAGUUAUACUCGAAGUAGCAAAAUCAAAUAACUAGGGCGGGACCAAUUACUCAUAACUAAAAACAAACCAAAUUUAAACCAAAAUUGUUUGAUACCAACCCUAAGCCUAGAAUCAUAAAUAUGCUCCUAAAAUUAUUUAUACUGGUCAAAAAUGAAUGUUACAGCUGGAAACGUAACAUAAUUUAAAAAUUCAAAUAAAUUUUAAAAACAUAUAUAAAGCCCAAAAUCCUUCCACAAAAACCAGACUGAAGUCGUAUGGAUAUCCGAUUGCAUACGAUUGCAUACGCGGCUGCGCCUGCAAAAAACGUACGUUUAAUGUUGUUGUAUUCCAAUCGUAACAAACGCAGUAGCUAUAUUUCAUUCUCUGUAUAUGGACACUUCAAAUACUAGUAUUAUACAUUAAUUACACCGUAACUCGAAAUAUGGAGAAUAAUCUUAUACAUCUUGUUUUUUUUACAUCACUUAUACUUCUUGUUACCAUACGAUAAGUAUAUAAAUGUAUAAAUGAUGUCAAAAUAGUAGCAAUAAAUAAACAUACAGAGUUAGACUUGUUUUGAGCAAAAGGCUGCAUGCAAGGCAAGACUGCUAGGCGAGCACAUGACUCACAUAGGGAAUUGCUCGCAGGUUUUAAUGUCCCAAGAAGACGAAUUCAAUUACAUGCAUUUACUAUAUAUAUCAUUGAUUACUAGAAAUAUACCGCCUUCAGUUCAAGCGAUAUUUAUAAAAUAUCCUAAAUGUAUUUUAUGUUUCCUAUUUAUUAGCUCUAGAAUUUAUCUCAUAUAGAUUUCAAAAUAAUGAAAUUAUAUAUUAGAUUCUUUGAUGUUCAUGUCCAGUUUCAAUUACGAAUUUAGGGAACAAUAAUUUAGCCUAUAUACACAGAGGUCUCAAAUUAUUGGUAAACUAUAUUCACCUUUUUAGUAAACAUAUAGUUUUUUAAAUUAUAUAUUCCCAUUUUUAUAUAGUGCAUAUAUAUAUUUUUUAAUUUAUAUUUGAGUCUGGAUCUUAUUUGACUGUUUCACUCACUCUUGAUAAAAGGUUAUGUGUCUAAAACAAUGUUGCUGGCAGAAAAAUGUCGUAAAAUUGAUGAGGACAGGACACAACAGUGAUAUUAGUGCAAAUCACGAAAAUAAAUGUUAUCUAGCAUGUUACAUAUUCCUUCUGUUUCGUUAAGAUAGAACUUUUUGAGAAGAAAAUGAUUUUACAAAAAUAAUUUUUUUAUUAUUUUUUAAACAAAAUAGCAAAUUUCAAUAAAACUAGUUAGAUUUAUUGAAAGAUUAUUAAUUAAAAAGCAUUCAAAUUUGAUAAUUUAAAAACGAUACAUAAUUGAUGUGUUUUUUAAAUAUAUAUGAAAAUACUAAAACAUCCAUCCGGGAAUAAUGUUUUGAGAUAAACUUUAAACAUGAUUUGAUACUCAUUUUAAAUUCACACAGCCGAAGUUGGCUUUUUCUCUCUCUCGGCUUCUAUAAAUGUCCUUCGACUCCCUCGUCGGAUCAAUGAAAUGUGAAUGAAACUUAGAAAAAAAGAAUCACAGAAAAAGAGAAAAAAAAACAGGAAAGUAAAGGCAUCCGCUUUUAAUAUUACUGCACGAACAUAGAACCUCUUGUCGUUUUGGUCUCUCUUUCUCUUCCUCUCUCUUUGGAACAAAAGAAAAAAUGGGUGAAGUAGAGGGCAAAGAGACUGGGAAGAAGACGAUGAAGAGUUUUAGAAGCAUAAGAUCGAUAUUCAUGCACGCUGACGGUGUGGAUUGGGUACUGAUGGGAUUAGGGUUAAUCGGAGCCGUCGGUGAUGGCUUCACAACUCCCCUUGUUCUUCUCAUCACGAGCAAGCUCAUGAACAACCUUGGUGGCUCCUCUUUCAAGACUGAAACCUUCAUGCAAAGCAUAUCCAAGGUUCUCUCAAUUCUUUCCAUCUCUCAUCUCCUAUGUAUAAUCACUUGGUUUUCUAAUUAGACUUUUUGAUCACAAGCUUUUUUGUCGAUGCUUGAUUGUCCACAAUCCGUUGACAUUUUUAUUAGGUCAUUUUUUAACAGUUUACGGUUUUAACUUUAGUUUAUGACACAUGCACUUCUAGAUUUAUUGUAUGUCUGUAUAAGGAAAGAAGACUAAUGUUUAUUCUUUUUUUUUAAAUCAACAGAACGCUGUGGCUUUGCUCUAUGUGGCUUGUGGAUCUUGGGUUGUCUGUUUCCUUGGUAAAAUAUUAAUAAUGUUGACCUUACUUUACUAUAUAGUAAUUAACCACAGAUUAACUAAUUAAUAUUUAAAUUAUAAAAACAGAAGGAUAUUGUUGGACACGAACAGGGGAGAGGCAAACAGCAAGAAUGAGAGAAAAAUAUCUUAGAGCAGUGUUAAGACAAGAUGUGGGGUACUUUGAUCUUCAUGUCACAAGCACUUCUGAUGUUAUCACAAGUGUCUCUAGUGACAGCUUCGUCAUCCAAGACGUGCUUAGUGAAAAGGUCUCACCAUUUCUAUCUUUCAUUCUAAUCAUUUUUCUUCCUUUUUCUAAACCGGUUCGGUUUGGUGCAGUUACCGAAUUUCUUGAUGAGCGCAUCAAUGUUCGUCGGAAGCUACAUAGUUGGCUUUAUUUUGUUAUGGAGACUCGCCAUAGUUGGCUUACCCUUUAUUGUCCUCUUAGUGAUCCCGGGACUUAUGUACGGCCGAGCCCUUAUAAGCAUAUCUAGCAAGAUACGUGAAGAGUACAAUGAGGCUGGUUUUGUAGCUGAGCAGGCCAUCUCUUCUGUGCGAACCGUCUAUGCGUUUUCCGGGGAAAGGAAAACGAUAUCAAAUUUUUCAGCCGCGCUUCAAGGCUCGGUAAAGCUAGGGAUUAGACAAGGGCUUGCCAAAGGAAUCACCAUUGGAAGCAAUGGAAUCACUUUCGCCAUGUGGGGGUUCAUGUCUUGGUAUGGAAGCCGGAUGGUCAUGUACCAUGGUGCUCAAGGUGGUACCGUAUUUGCAGUAGCCGCCGCUGUUGCCAUCGGUGGCGUGUAAGUAUAUAUUAACAUACAAUAAAGUAUAUGCAUGAUAGUAUGAUACAAUGAGAUAUGCAAAACGGUUUCAACAAUUAAACUAUCAAAAUUACUCACAGCUUUUUAUCUAUGAUAGAAUCCAUUGCGUACGUAUUAGUAUAAAUAGCAUCAGCCAGUUACGUAACCAAUUGGCUCUUUCAAAUAUUUUAAUCUAUUUUUUUAGAAAUUAUUCAAUCUAUAUUGUAAUACUUGCAACUACGUAUGCUAAAAUUUAUGCUUACAAAUUUGAAUGAUUAUAUUAUUCGUUUUGAUAUCUAAAACAUAUUUUAAUUAGUUUUGUACUAUAGUUUCUUUAAAACAUGUUUAUAUAACAACUUUAUGACAUGUAUAUAUAAAUUCAUACUUUUCUUAUGCAUUUAUGUAUGUAUUGGAAUUUAGUUUAAUUCAACGUGUUUACAUAUAAAUCAAUGUUUUGGUGAUUCUUUCCGUAGAGUAGUAAGAUUAAUAUUUAUAAGUGGUUUUCUUGUAACAAAAUAUUAAAAGAGAAUAUAUGUUGAUCUUCGUGAAAUCGUAUCAUGAUCUUGUUCGUUGUUAUUGUUUCAGAUCACUUGGUGGUGGUUUGUCUAAUCUCAAGUACUUCUUCGAGGCGGCUUCAGUUGGCGAGCGAAUCAUGGAAGUAAUAAACAGAGUUCCCAAGAUUGAUUCAAACAAUCCGGAAGGGCUAAAACUAGAGAAAGUCAGAGGAGAAGUUGAGUUUAAGCAUGUGAAGUUUGUGUAUCCAUCAAGACCAGAAACAUCCAUCUUUGAAGAUUUUUGUCUGAGAGUUCCCUCCGGGAAAACCGUGGCUUUGGUGGGAGGAAGCGGGUCAGGAAAAUCAACUGUGAUAUCGCUUUUGCAGAGGUUUUAUAACCCGGUAGCAGGAGAGAUUCUCAUAGAUGGUGUAUCCAUUGAUAAGCUGCAAGUGAAGUGGUUAAGGUCUCAAAUGGGUUUAGUUAGCCAAGAGCCUGCACUUUUCGCCACAUCCAUAAAGGAGAACAUAUUGUUUGGUAAAGAAGAUGCAACGAUGGAUGAUGUUGUGGAAGCUGCCAAGGCCUCUAAUGCUCAUAAUUUCAUUUCUCAGUUACCUAAUGGCUAUGAAACUCAGGUCAGAUUCUAAUUUUAUACUCUAUGUUUCAUAAUAUAAGUUAGAUUAGUCAAAAGUACAGAUAUUAAGAAAAUUACUAUUCUUCAAAAAUAUAAUUUAAUAAUUUUUUAAACACAAACUUACUUUCAUUCAUACUCAAUCUUCUACAAUACAAUAGAAAGAGGAGGGAAAUUAUCCAUCCUCUUUGACAAUAAGCAUAACAUACAAAACAAAAAUAUUAUUUAAUAUAUAGAAUAAAUAUAGUCUAAUCAAUUAUAAAAUCUACAAAACUUAUUUGGUUACAAUAAAGAUAAAAGUUACAUAGAAAUAUGAAAACAAUUUAUAUGUUGAAACAAAAAGAUAUUUAUAAAACAAUUUAUAUUAUCAGACAGAUGGAUUAUAAUUAUCGCAUCUUUUGUAGUGUUAUCUAGAGACUGAUUUAGCUUGUGUAAACAAAUAGGUUGGGGAGAGAGGAGUGCAAAUGUCAGGAGGACAGAAGCAGAGGAUAGCAAUCGCACGUGCAAUAAUCAAAUCACCAACAAUUCUCCUUCUAGACGAGGCAACAAGUGCAUUAGACUCUGAAUCCGAAAGAGUAGUCCAAGAAGCCUUAGAAAAUGCAUCAAUCGGCCGUACAACUAUCCUUAUUGCUCACCGUCUCUCUACCAUUCGUAACGCUGAUGUUAUCACCGUGGUCCGAAACGGCCAUGUUGUUGAGACUGGCUCACACGAUGAGCUAAUGGACAACAUAGAUGGUCAAUACGCUUCACUAGUCCGCUUACAACAGAUUGAAAAAGACGACUCAAGUGUGAACAUGAGCGUCAAUGUGCAAACAAGUCCAACCUUGGAUCCUACUAAAGAUUUCAGAAGUUGUUCAAGAGUCUCGACACUUAGCCGGUCAAGCUCUACUAACUCCGUUACAGGUUCAAGUAUUGUCAAGAAUCUUUCAAAAGAUGAUAAGCCACCUUUACCAUCUUUUAAAAGACUCUUGGCAAUGAAUCUACCUGAGUGGAAACAGGCGUUAUACGGUUGCAUAAGUGCAACCUUGUUUGGGGCCAUACAGCCGGCGUAUGCAUAUUCUUUAGGGUCAAUGGUAUCGGUUUAUUUCUUGACGAGCCAUGACGAGAUUAAGGAGAAAACGAGGAUCUACGCAUUAUCUUUUGUCGGCUUAGCCGUGCUUUCUUUCUUGAUCAACAUCAGCCAACACUACAACUUUGCAUACAUGGGCGAAUACUUGACUAAGCGCGUCCGAGAACGGAUGCUCUCUAAGGUUCUAACCUUUGAAGUUGGUUGGUUCGAUCGUGAUGAGAACUCAAGUGGUGCCAUAUGUUCUAGACUCGCAAAAGAUGCUAAUGUGGUACGUAUAUGAAUAUUAUGAUUUGAACUUUUAACUAACAAUGUUAUAUAACGUUUCUUGAUGCUAAUGUGGUAGUGGUACGUACAUGAAUCUUAUUAUUCAAAUUUUCAAUUAUAACGUUUCUUGAUCACUCUAAUAUCUUUGUUUGGUUAAUGAUAGGUGAGAUCGCUAGUAGGUGAUCGUAUGGCACUAUUGGUACAAACAAUAUCGGCGGUAACCAUAGCAUGCACAAUGGGUCUGGUAAUAGCGUGGAGGUUAGCUCUUGUAAUGAUCGCUGUGCAACCACUGAUUAUUGUAUGCUUCUACACUCGCCGUGUUCUACUCAAGAACAUGUCGAAAAAGGCAAUCAAGGCUCAGGACGAGAGUAGCAAACUAGCUGCUGAGGCUGUUUCCAACGUACGAACCAUCACAGCCUUUUCGUCACAAGAACGUAUCAUGAAAAUGCUAGAAAAGGCUCAAGAAAACCCGCGGCGAGAAAGCAUACGUCAGUCAUGGUUCGCAGGGAUCGGACUCGCCAUGUCGCAGAGCCUAACUACAUGCACGUGGGCUUUGGACUUCUGGUACGGUGGUAGACUGAUCGAAGAUGGGUACAUAACAGCUAAAGCUUUGUUCGAAACGUUUAUGAUCUUGGUUAGUACCGGUCGGGUCAUAGCCGAUGCUGGAAGCAUGACAACGGAUCUAGCUAAAGGUUCGGACGCGGUCGGGUCGGUUUUCGCUGUGUUGGACCGGUACACUUCUAUUGAUCCGGAGGAUCCAGAAGGAUAUGAACCGGAAAGACUAACCGGUCGGGUCGAGUUUCUUAAUGUGGAUUUCUCAUACCCAACUAGACCGGAUGUGAUGAUAUUUAGUGACUUUUCUAUCGAUAUCGACGCAGCGAAGUCUACUGCUAUAGUUGGUCCAAGCGGGUCAGGUAAAUCCACGGUGAUCGGUUUAAUCGAACGGUUUUACGACCCGGUUAAAGGCGUUGUGAAAAUCGACGGUCGAGAUUUAAGAUCGUACAAUCUGAGAUCGCUCCGACAACACAUAGCUUUGGUUAGCCAAGAGCCAACGUUGUUCGCGGGAACGAUCCGAGAGAACAUCGUAUACGGAAGAGCAUCGACGAAUCAGAGAUCAUCGAAGCGGCGAGAGCAGCGAACGCUCACGAUUUCAUCACGUCUUUAACGGACGGCUACGAUACGUACUGCGGAGACAGAGGUGUACAGUUAUCCGGUGGUCAGAAACAGAGGAUCGCCAUCGCUAGAGCGGUUUUGAAGAACCCGUCGGUGUUGCUUCUCGAUGAAGCGACGAGCGCUUUGGAUAGCCAAUCGGAGCGUGUGGUGCAAGACGCGCUGGAGCGCGUGAUGGUGGGGAGGACGAGCGUUGUGAUCGCGCAUAGGCUGAGCACGAUUCAGAACUGCGACGCAAUCGCUGUUUUGGAUAAAGGAAAGCUCGUGGAGCGUGGGACCCACUCAUCCUUGUUGGCAAAAGGAUCCACAGGUGUUUACUUCUCAUUGGUCAGUCUCCAGAGAACAACUUGUUGAAUAACGCUGAUCUGGAAACAAAUAAAACUCUUUAAGCUAAGGGUUAUUGAACAUGUUAUAUGACGCUAUUUCCUUAUUUGUAACCAUUUACAUAUAGAUAUUUAAAACGAUUAUGUUUAAAAGAAGGCUACAGAGGUUCCAAUACUAGAGCAAAUCUAUGUUUUCACUUAGUUUUGAUUCCAUUUGUUGAUAACAACAACAUGCGAGAACUGCUAUAGAUAGUAAUUUUUAUCAACUGAUCACCACCAACUUGUCGUUUCCAUGAGUCGUCCUCGUCCACGAUGAGUUCAUUGACUCCCCAUUUCCAUGAGUCGUCCAUGAUGAAUUCAUUGACUCCCCAUUCUUCAAAGCUAAUUAUAAGGAAUAAUUUUAUUAAUGAUAGGUUCACUUUUCACCAGCUUUGAUACUACUAUUGAAAGCAACUCGUAGCAGACGUACCAAAAGUUUGUGGUUGAUUUGAGUUUCUUUUAAAUAAGAAGUAGCUAGAAUUGGGAACGUUAGAAACUUUGUAAUUAGGUAAGCAUAAUUCCAAAGUAAGAUGUAUACUCAUGACAAAGAAUAAUGAUUUUGCCAGCCCAUAGCCGCACACACAGCUGUAUUCAAACAUCACACUUUUUUUCUUCUUUUUUUGUCAAAUUAAUUAUAAUGAACAACUGCAGACACAAAUGUGAUCUAAAAUCACUUUUAUUAAGAAAGCAGUUGUAUGAUUUACGUAAAACCAAGUGAACGGGUAAUGGCUGCUUUUGGUAAACAUAAAAUAAUUGUAUAAAUUUUCGUGUAUCAAGAUGUUGGAACAACAAAUCUGCACUAUAAAAUGUCUUCGAUUUUCUAUUUUUAAAAAGAUCGAAUUAGCUUUAUUUGUUUUCUUUAUCUACAUCUAGUCUCCACAUACUAGAUUAUGGAAUAAUAAUUGAUACCCAAAAUGGCAAAAAAAUUGAGAAUAGUAAUUAGCUAGUUCUUAUAGGUAAUGUUCUAGCAUGUUAAUAGAACAACAAAUUUGGAAAGCAAGUUUUAAAAGAAUCUAUACGUGUGUAUAUAUAUUACUGAUAAAACGUGGUAAAUACACAUUAUCAACCAAUUUUUCUUUUCAUUUUACUAUAUGUGGGCGUGUGUAAUCCACAUGGAGCUUUCGAAGACUUACCCCAAGCGUAAAUAUUAUUUGACAAACGCAAGAGUGACUGGCGUUCAAUACGAUCUAGUAUAAAUCAAGUGCAGAAUGAGGCAAGAUAGUACGGAUGUGAUAUCAUAUCACCUUGGCUUAUCAACCACGUACAUUUGUUCUGAUAACAUAUCAUACUAUUUUUACCAAAAAAAACAUAUCAUACUAUUAUAGAGUUAGAGAUCUAUCCACUCGUAAACUACGAGCUGAUAUGUUAGUUUUAAUUCUGGAAGAAGCUAACGUGUCAAUAUAACUUAGAAGUGGAUAUUCCCACUUAACAUAAUAUAAGAUGUGUGUAUAUAUAAACGAUUAUAUUUAUUUGGUAUGAUGCUACAAUUAGUAUAUCAUUGUUAAUAUCAGAGAAUAAGCAUAACGCUACUCAAGGAAACAACAAAUUCUAGUCAUAGAUAAGGGUGAAAACCUGCAAAUAAAAUCUAUCUAAACGAGGGAUACUCACAUGCUUUAGUGAAAUACAAGCAUUAAGUUAAUAGUAUUAUUAUAUUCAAAGAGCAUUGCAUCCAAUGAAUGUGAGCUGACCAGUUAAAUAUAUUGUUAUCUUUUGUCCGUCAGUCAAUAAUUAUAUGGUAUUAUUGAGAACAUUAAUACAUAUAUAAUAUAUGUAUAUCGAAAUAAGUAGAAAAGAACAUGGAUCCAUGUGUUCAUUGGACCCAUUAUCAACCCAUACUCUAAGAUGCUGGAUUCCUACAACCUAACAUGCUUUCCUUAUAUAUCAAACAAUGUCUAUGCGUGUAAUGUCUACAUUUACAUGCGUAUUCACUUAAUUAUUAUUAAUUAGUCUUGAUACUAGUAUUUAUCAAAAAAAUUAUGUCAAUAUUGACUAAGAUAGGUUUGUUAAACCUUUCUCUCAACAUUUAUUGCUGUAAACCAAAGAAUGGUUAAACUCUGAGCCAAUCUGAACACUUAAAAAUUCAAGUUCAAAUUCAAGAUUAUAAAUUGGUUUACCAUAUAUAAUGGAUGGAUAUUAAAGACUAGAUAUUCCCAACAGCAUUUGCAAAUUAGAAGAGAGAUGACCAUAUACUGAAAUGGCUAGACUUUGCCAAUAAGUAUUUACCAUUUUUAUAGAACAGUCGGUGUUCCUAACCAGAUGGUGUGCAUAUGUAAUCUGGUAAUGAAAUAAAUGGAUGCAAAUUCAAUGUUAUCUUGGUCAUCAAUGUAUCCUUAAUACUUUUUCCAUAUACAAUGAACACUAUUCACGUACCAUUGAAUGUUAUUAUCAAUAUAAAUUUGAACUUAUUACUUUGUACUUUCGCCGUUUCUCAAAAGAAAUGUUCUAGAAAGAUUAUAGAAAAAAAAACUAUCUACAAAAAGAACAUUGACAUUGACUAGGCAUUGACAAUAAGAAACGAGUUUCAAACGAACUUAAUUUGACCGUGUUUCCUUUCCUUACAAAACCGCGUUUCAGUUCUUGUCUUCGUCUUCUUCCUCGACCCUUCUCUCUAUCUCUCCUCCAGAAACUCAAAACUAAAACCUUAAAAAGACCUCUGCUUUGAGAUCUUACCCACUCUUCAAACCCGAUCACUUCUCUCCGAUGAUGUCUAGUUCAAGACUAAUAAUAAUCUUCACAAUAAUCUCUGCAGCCUUCCUCACCGUCGGAUCAAUCCGAUUGGUUCCAGACGAUAAAUCUUCAUUCAACGAUGGAUCUUCAGAUUUCAUGGAGGCUCCAGGAUACCAAAACGGACCAAAAUGCUCUGUUCUACCCCAAAACAAACUCUUGUUAGCUUGCGACCCUUCAGCUAUUCACAUAGCGAUGACCCUCGACCCAGCUUACUUGCGUGGCACGGUAUCUGCAGUCCACUCCAUCCUCAAACACACCUCUUGCCCUCAAAACAUCUUCUUCCACUUCAUCGCUUCGGGUCCCCACCACGGUCCCCUCGCGAAGACUCUCUCCUCUGUUUUCCCUUCUCUGAGUUUCAAAGUCUACACCUUCGACGAAACCAUCGUCAAGAACCUCAUCUCUUCUUCCAUAAGACAAGCUCUCGAUAGUCCCUUGAACUACGCAAGAAGCUACUUGUCAGAGAUUCUCUCCACGUGUGUUCAUAGAGUGAUCUAUCUAGACUCGGAUGUGAUCGUGGUCGACGAUAUCAAGAAGCUAUGGAAGGUUUCUUUAACCGGAUCAAGAACCAUCGGCGCACCAGAGUACUGCCACGCUAACUUCACCAAGUACUUCUCAGAUCGUUUCUGGUCAAAUCCAAAACUCUCUGGAGUCUUUGAGUCCAAAACGCCUUGCUACUUCAACACGGGAGUGAUGGUGAUCGAUUUAGAGAGAUGGAGAGAAGGAGAGUACACGAAAAAGAUCGAGAACUGGAUGAAGAUUCAGAAAGAGGAGAGGAUUUACGAGCUGGGUUCGUUGCCGCCGUUUCUGCUGGUGUUUUCAGGAGAAAUUGAAGCUAUUGAUCACCAGUGGAACCAGCAUGGUCUAGGUGGAGACAAUGUGGUGAGUAGUUGUAGGUCUUUGCAUCCUGGUCCGGUGAGUUUGAUACAUUGGAGUGGGAAAGGGAAGCCGUGGGUGAGGCUUGAUGAUGGUAAGGCGUGUCCUGUUGAUUAUUUAUGGGCUCCUUAUGAUCUUCACAAGUCACGGAGACAGUAUCUUCAAUACAGUCAAGACUUAGACAUUCUUUGAUUCAUUCUAAUUUUUUUUUGUUAGUACAAAGUUUUGCUCUUUUUCUGAUGUAAAUAAAACUGAAUUACAUUUGAGGUUUUACCUAUUCUGUUGCUCUAUCAGUGCUUUGAUUUUGUUUGUUUUAUGUGUCAUUCUUUUCUCAUAGCAUCCUUAGUAUUUGGGUGAUGAAACAAAUGGAAACUGAGAAAUAACAAUGAAUUGAACAAACAUAUUAAUUAAGGGCAUUCAUUUCUGUAGGAUGUUAUAUUUAUUUGAAUGCGUCUACUUUAUCAAGUAGAGGUUUGCUGGAACUCUGUUUCUCAAACAUUGUGGCCUCUGUUUUUUUCACCCCUUUCAUUUUAAUAAAAGUCUUGACUAGUGUUAAUCUUUUUUUAUCAUAUGGAGGAUUGGCUGAGCAUAUAGACUCAUAUGGUGCACCACUUUUGCCCUUGCAGGUGUAGUUCUGAUUUUUCUUAAAAGAGUAUAUUCAUUCUCUUGUAUAUUGAAAAAGUCUGAUCCUUUUCUUGUUUUUUAAUCUGCUGAGUUUGGACAAGGAGUUUUGGAGAAUAUUCCUUAUGUUCCAGUGAGAGAGAGGUAGAAAACUCUUUACUCUGCCUUUUAGCUUUGUUGCUCCACAUUGUUUGUUCUGUUCUAUAGAUGUAGAAAUGUAGCCUUAUGUUCUUCUAGUGUUUGCUUGAGUAGAGAAUUUGUAUAUGUCAACAAUUAGACAAAUGGUUCUUAAAUUUUCUGCCCUUUGUAGCUAAAAUUUGAAUCUUUUUUGUUCAUAAGAAAAGAGUGCCAUUGUAUGCUUUUCUCAACUCUUGACAAUGAUUUAGCUUGGUAAAAGCCUCUAAACAUAUCUUCUUGUUACAUACUAAACACAAACAUUAAUCAUUUGAUGUAAUGCAGACUAUUACAAAUGCCACGCAUUAAAAUGCUCUUGGAAACAAUUGAUUAUUAAUCAUACAUGAGAAACAUUUUGUUGAUGCAAACUGUUGCAAUGAAAGGAAAAAAAAACUAAAAGGAUCUAAUCGAAGGAGAAGAACUUGAUGAAACAGAAGCUGUUCCUCUUCCACAUCCUUUCUCAUUCCUCAAACUCAAAGCUUCCAUAAACUUCUCAUUCCAUCUCGACCUUGUCCCUGAGUUAGCAAGCGUCUUCUUGUUACAGACAUGAUCUGUCGGAAACCGAUGUUUCAGACAAAACUUAACUCCACAAUCUUUGCAAGUAAUGUUGUUAGCAAAUGUCAGAACCUCUUUGCAACGCUUCACAGGACAAAUGGGUUUCUUCUUCUUACUCGGAUCACAAUCUCCAGAUCUUUCGUGUUUCUCAAGCAAAGACUUGAUCCCUUCUUGGUCAAAACCAGUUGUUUCGAUUGCAACAGAACAUGUUUCGCAGAUGGAAACUGUUCUGCUUCCGUGGUCUGAGUUUGGACAAUCGUGGGACUUGUAUGAUCUAUGCUCCAAACAGAACACCUAUAAAUUUUCAUUUAAAGAAACAUUAUGGAAAGAUUUCUUGCAGGAAAAGAAAAGAAAAAGUGAAACUUCCAGUAAAGAUUUACCAAUUUGCAGCCGUCACAAGUGAAAGGGAGAAAGUCGAGGAGUUUGCAGUCAGGGUUUUGGCAAUGCUCUCCAAGAUCAGGAAACGCUUCUGUUCCUCCUCCUCCUGCCAUAGCUUUUCUUCUUCUUCUUCUUGUUAUUAUUCUUGUCUUCGACAUUGGUUUGUUUUUGAUUCCGAGAGACGUAUGAAUGUAUAGAGAGAGAUCUAUAUAGGGAGAGAGGUUGGGUCUGACUUGAAGGCAAAGCCAGCGUUCUCCAAGUUGGUUUCUUCCUCUGCUUGACAAUUCUUGUUUUUUUCCUUAUUUAGAUUUUUUUUUUUAAGUGGGAAAGUUUUAAUAAUUAGAUAAAACGCGGUUUGGAUGUUUCUAGGCCCGUUUUCGGCCUAUUUUCUUUGAAUCCUUAAAAAGAAAAAGAAAUCCUUAAAAGAAAAUAAACUAAUAUUACAUUUUUCCUAUCUUAUUUAGGUAAAUAAAUUAUAAUUAAUACUAAGAUAACCAAAAAAUUAAAGUAUUAUACUACUUUGAUUGCUUUAAUUACAUUUGUUCUGAAGCUUCUUCAUGUAUGUUAAACCAAUCGGUUUAGCAAGACUUUCCAAAACGAUUAUGGUGAAGAUGUUUAGAAAACCCAUCUCACUCUGAUCAAUAGCAGAAUCUUAAACCAUUCUUUGUACAUAACACCUAAGAGGCAUAUGAUUAUUAACCCUUAGGCCAAUAUUAUAUAACAAAUUAAUCGUUUCACUCAUUUAUCUGAAACUGGACAUUAUAAGUUUUUUGAAAAUUAUGUAUAAAACCCACAUGUAAGAAAGGGAAAAGAAUUUAAAAAACAAACAAAAAAAUAAGCGAAUAUAAACGGGUUUAUCUCCCUUCUUCGUCUUCUCUGUCUUUGCUUUGUGUGUGUGUCUAGUUGAUCUGUUCUCCGAUCAAAUCCAACCCUACAACCAAGAAAGACAGUCCCUGAAACAGCAAGAAGUAGAAGUGAAGACCAUGCGCCGACAGAAAGCUUCUUGCAGCUGCGGUUAGAAGCAAGAACGCAAGCCCUAGCUCUUUCUUAAACACCAUGUUCCUCUUCUUGAUCUUGUUACUCGGCCUCACUAGCCCUCCAAUGCUCUUCUUCGGGGUUUCUUGUACUGCAAGAUUCAUCUCUUGCUCCUUGAGUUUGCUCAGAAGCUCCAAACCCGACUCCGAGUUUCUCCUAUGCAACUUCUCUUCCUUUUCAGCAAACGCUAGCAAGUCAGAUUCAGAUGAUCUCCCAGUCUUCUUGGUCACAACCCACUCGUAAGCCGAUCCAAGCUGGAACAACCCAGAGAUCAUGGCGUUGAACUUGGUUAUGGACAUUGUGUUUUCGAAAAGGAGGUAAGGGAUUAAGAAAGGGAAAGAUUUGGGUGAGGGAAGAAUGUUGAGAAGUGAAAUGAAGAUGGGAACGUAACAAAUGAUCCACAAAGGAAGCUCUGCUUCAGGUAUGAACAUUGUUAGUGGAAGUAUGAUGCAGAAGAGUGUGAAUGAGUAAAAGGGUAGAAUAAGCUUUCUUAGAAGAAAGAAGAGGAAGAUCAAAUUUGCCUUCUUCCCUACUGAUAUCUGCAAAAUCAAAAACAGGAAAAACAAACAAUUCAGUCUUAUUUAUAACCGUUCUGAGUAUAACAAAAUAAAACAUUCGUCUAUGCCCCUCAAAAUAUUAGUAUAUAUAAUCCGGCUUCCAAAUUUAUUAGGAGAAUAUAUGUAUUAGUUAUUUAGUAACGAUUUUGAAAAAAAUAGUUUUAGAAGUUGAAUUUUAGUUUUAAUUUGUUUGUUUAAUUAUAUAUAUUAAUUAUUUAGUAAAAUUCAAAUUAUUCAAUAAUUUUUACACAUGUAGAUAGCCGAUUUUUUAGAACAUUUAUGGUUAUAGAAAUUGAAUUUAAGUAUUAUUUACCUUUGAUUUUAUGAUAGAAGGAAGGCAUAACCGGAAAAGUUGCAUAGGACCAGAAUGCCAACGAUGUUGCUGCUUCUUGUAAGCUUCAUAAGACUCAGGCAACUCGCAAGUGACUUCAACGUCAUUGAGGUAAAUGAAUUUCCAACCGUUGAGAUGCGCUCUGACCGCGAUAUCCAUGUCUUCAACCGUGGUUCUCUCGAGCCACCCGCCGGAUUCUUCCAAUGCUUUGAUCCUCCAGACUCCUGCGGUUCCGUUGAACCCAAAGAAAUUGAGAAACACGCCGUUCACUUGCUGUUCUACUUCGAAGUGGAAACAUAGGUUUAUGUUUUGUAGCCUUGUCAGGAGAUUCUCGUCUUUGUUCACAAAGGACCACCUUGCUUGGACUAAUCCUAGCUCUGGAUUCCCCUGCAACAAACAACACAACACACACUCUUUUUAGCUUCUUGAUGAUUGUUUCAUUAUCAUAUGCUAAGCACAAUUAAUAUAUGUUUUUAAGUAAUAAACUCCAGUUUUGCAAACUAAAAUAUUUAAUUUUUUAUUUAAAAUAUAAAAUACAAACUGUUUUCAAAAUAGUACUUUAUCAUAAACCUAAUCUUGAUGACUCUGUUUACAGCUUACAAAAAUGAUGAUUAACAUACUAUUUUAUUACAAAAUAAACAGAGUGAAGAUUAGGUUCAACUAGUCUAAAUAUGUAGAAUCAUGAUGUGAAAAUCAUCCAACGACGUGUUGAUUUUUGUAAAUUAGUUUUGUCGGUUACUUUAAUUUCAUACACAACAUAUACAACUUUUCCUAAAACUUUAUAUUAUAUUUGUCGGCUACUCUCAACAUGACCCACCGAAAAAGAAUGAAUAAAAAAAUCGAGACAACUGUCGGUGACGAGUAUAAUUGGAAGAUUAUAUUCCCAUUAAAAAAACAUUGUGAAAAGAGUAAAUAUUUUUCACUUAAUUUUUUCUUGAAACAUCAUCGUAAAUUACGAAACUUAAAAAAAACAAUUUCCUUUUGUACUUAGAAUAGAUUGAGUGUGAUUGAUUGGUUUACCUUGAAAUGAGGAAUAGUCUUCAUGAGGAAAUCAGGACUUGGCGUAAAGUCUGCGUCGAAAAUAGUAACGAACUCGUAAUCUUUAACGUAAUCACAUGUCAUCGCAGACUUUAGAUUCCCAGCUUUGUAACCAGUUCUGAUCAACCUAUGCCUGUAGAUAAUGUUCACUCCUUUCUCUGCCCAAGCAGCUACUUCUUCCUUGAUCAAAAGCUGUAAGUUUGGAUCGUCUGAAUCGUCAAGAACUUGAAUCAAGAUCCUAUCCUUCGGCCAAUCAAGCUGUGAUGCUGCUCCUAUUGAUUGUUCAUACACCUACAAAGAACAUAACACAACAGUUACAGAACAGAACACAAAACAGAGUAAAAACAGAGCAAAAACAGAGUAAAACAGAGCAAAAAACAGAGUAUGUUUAUAGUUUACCUCUCUUUCAUUGCACAUUGGGAUCUGAAUAAGGACCAUUGGGAAGUUUGAUGCGUCUUCUAGAUCGAGCUCAUCGUCUUUGAGCUUAGGUUCGAUCUUCUUGAACUUGAUCCAGAAGCAACCGAGACAGAGGACCAACCGAUCAAGAGACUGGAUCAAGAAGAGGACAGUGCAGAACUUGGAGAGAGUGAUGACAAUAGGAGCGAUGUAAUCGGAUCGAAACGAGAGCCAAGCCACGUAAGACCACUCGACAAGCCCACGAACCUCCCAGGACGGUCGGUUCACGAGAUCUAGAUUCCAGUUCUUGUAAUAAGCGACGAUUUCUAUUGACAAGGCGACUAUGGAGAUGAGGAGACAGGCUUUGAUGAAUCUGUACAUUUGUUUUCCUCUGCUUUUGGGAUCUUCUUCUUCGUUUAUGGCUUUGGAGGAGAAAGCGAGACGCUUUUUGACCGAGGCGAAGAGCCACGAGAGGGAAGAGACGAGUCUGUGAGCUUUGAGGAGGAUGAACCAUGAGAAUUGCUUUGGGCUGAUGGAUUUGCGUUUGUUGUCAGGGAAUGAGGAUGGAUCUGAGCCGUUGAUCUCUAGUAGAGAGAAGUUGUCUGGCUUCUCCAUUGUCACUGCCACUGAGUUUGGAGCCAUGAAUGAGAGUUUAGAAGAGGGAAAAAACAGAGUAAGAGAACAAAGAAGAAGAAAUGAUUUUGUGUCGUCACUGUUUCAUUUAAUUUUCCAUGAAAACUGGAUCUUUUGUUUUAACAGACAAAACAGAGAUGAGCUCAGAGUCUGAGCAGCUGCGUAACUGAAACUUGUGAUUAGUUGAGAGAGAGAGAGAGACGAGGAGCAUGUGAUGAAGUGAACAACUUGUAAUAAAGAGGAGAGAAGAGGAACAAGAGAGUCCUCCUUCCUUUGCAUUUUCCUCUCUUUACCCUCAUUUUUUAUAGGAAACGUUUGCUUCUUUUUAAAUUUUUUUUUUUUUAAUUUUGACGGCAGGUCGUUUUACUUUGUUUUCUUUGUGUGAAAAGUCCAAUGCUUCUUAUUAUUACUACUGCUUCUUGAUAAAAAAAAAGGGUUAUUACUACUGGUUCUUUUUUUCCUGGACGUCCUCUUAUUUCUUAUUAUUUCUAGCUUCAACAAAUAAAAAUGCAAUUUUAGCCAUUAAUUUGAAAAUAGCAUCAAAUUUAAGAUAAAGCUCAAAUUUUCUUUAAAAUAUAGAUCAUAAAAUAUCUUGUCUAAAAAUUAAAAUUUAAGCUUUUUUUUUUUUUGAACACUAUUAAAAUUUAAGCUUUACCUAAAUUUUAACCGUUAAAAUGUUCUCUUAAACAAAGUUCAUCGAGUUUAUUACUUCUGCUCGAUAAUUUGAUAAAGUUUACCAUUGUGAUGAUUAUAUUAUCUAGGUCAAUUUUAGGUUACCAUUGAAAGUUUGAAACUCUACAUUCCCAUUCUACUAUAUUUAAAACAUAAAGGCUAAUUUGAAAAGCAGAGACGCGUCUACUUAAUAUUAUAGGAAAGUUUAGAUCUAUUUUGCCAUAAUUUAGGAAAUACUUUUUUGGUUCUUUGAGUAAUUAAAAAAUACUUCUGAGGAUACGAAUCAUAAAACCGUGUGGACACAUGCAUGUUAUGCAUAUUAAGAAGAAGUAUGAAUCAAACUCAGGGAAAAUAAGAUGAUUUUUUAAUAGGAAGCCAAUUCUAUAAAAAAAAAAAGGAAAAUAAGAUGAUUCCAAGAAUAUCCCUAAGAAAAUUUGAAAGAUUGGUAAGGAAUUGGAAGAUGACAACUUGAUCCAGCGAAGACCAGAUUAAACAUAUUAAAAUGUAAGUUGAUCAACUUUUGUAAAUUACUUUUGAUUCAAAGUACACUUAUAGAGAGCUGAGCUCUGUUGUCCCUUCACUGUCUUCUAACUUCUUUUCGACAAUAUAAUAAUUAUUCUGGUUCACAGUGUUAAAUGUAUCCGCUUAUUGUAGCCCAUUGAUUGGGAUUAAUGUUUUUCCCUCGUAAUUUUUAUUUCACGUAUCCCCUACAUUAUUCUAUUGUAUAUUAUAGUUAUUUUAUCCAAAAAGAGUAAACCAUUUCUCAAAAGGAGUUAAUUUAAGGGAAUUUGCACCUUAUAAGUUAUAACCAUUAAAAAACACAAACUUACCAUCUAACAAAAAUCACCCUCUCUCUCUUUAUUUCUGUCUUAUCUCUCUAGCAUCUUAGUAAAAAUCUAAUUAUUCUUUUUUUCUUUGGUUGUUUGGCAAAUAAACCCUUAAUUUAAAGUAUAGUAGUAACUAAGAAAAAGACAGCAACCGUAACUGGUGGAGAGAAAGGCAUUGGAAGUUUCUGUUUUACGAACAUAACUUGUUAUAUUAUUAUAUUGAUAUCAUACAUCACGAUAAAUAAAAACAUAACAAAAUCGGUGGAUAAAUAUUGAAAACGAGUUUGACUUAGGAUAAGAAUAGUACUACUAUUACACACUGCAAUACAGCUAUACAAGUUAUAAACCUCACGUCUUUACCACUUGCGUUUACAUACACUUGAUAUUAUUUUAUAUGACAUGCUUAUGAUGAUAGUUAUAAAUUGACCAGAUUUAAUUAGCAGUUGGUCUAAAGCGCGCAUGAGCUGGUAAAUGGUAAUAAUACUUCACACUUCUAUUACUUUGACUAUCUAGCACUCAUUUCAUUUGGCUACACUAACAAAGUUAGCAUUACUGGACGUAGUCCUUCAUAUCUGUUUUUGGCAAACAUAUCUUAUGAAGAAUUUAAUUUUCAAUAAUAAUGAGUUUUCUUGCUGAUGGGGAUUCCUCCCACUUAGCACUUAUUAGGUUUAAUUGCGUGGCCAGCAAACAAUUGUUUAUAUUGUAUGUGUUAUGUGUUAUACUUUAGGAAAAACCAUUUGCAAUAUAUACUAAUAUAUGUGUCAUUAAUAGAGGUACAUGCUUUCUCCUAAACACAGUCUCACUGAAGUAAGGUCUACCACAUGAGAAGGCCUAGUUUUGUAUCUUCUAUUCUCAAUCAUAUAUUCAGGUUUUGGUAUGUAUCUCGCUUAUUAUAAUUUUAUAUUUAUCAAUAAUGCACGACGCUUCUAAGAUUUUUCAGAUGCAAUCGGUGGGGUUCUGUUUUUUAUUUACUGAAUUCUUAUUUCCCAUCGUAAGAAAGAGAAUAGGGCUGUUCGUUUGGUUGCCGCAGGUACCGCGGCAGCGGCAGCGUCAACAUUCUGCGUCAACUCUUGUUCGUUUCGUUGACGCAGGAACCGGCGGCAGCGGCAGCGUCCGAACGCUGCGUCCUGCGGCUGACACCGAUAAAACCUGCGGUCGCGAUAUGAUAUGCGGCAGCGGCAGCGGCAGCGUCAGCGUCUGCGAAACGAACAACAACUGUCCUCAUUGACGCUGCUGCCGCCGCUGACGCUGCCGCUGCCGCUGACGCCGAAACCUGCGGCAACCAAACGAACAGGGCUUAAGUGUUUUUGUGUUUUCGAUAAGGUAGGAGACUUAGUUAUUAUAUCCGUAACUUAGAUCUUAUUUAUGUUGAUUGGUCAAUUUCAUCAAUCAGACAAUAUUUUAACUGCUUCGGAAUCAAAUAAGUCUUUAGCUAUUUGUUUUCAUAUAUAUAUGGAAAGUCUCAAAACAUAUUAUGAUCUCUAUCCCUAGACUCUCAGGCAUCACCAGAUCUCGAUUUCCUGAAAACGUACGAAACUUCUUGAUAUCAAUAAAAGUUUUCGAACAAAGUAGUCAAAUCCAAAAUCAAUGAACUCGGAGCCAGUAUGUCCCUUUUAGUAUUCAUUGAGAGUUGAAGUAAAUCAAGAAUAAUGCGCCCCCCCCCCCUCGGAUUGUAUAUGGCCCUGUUCGUUUGCUCACCCAGGUGAUCCAUCUGGGUGAAGAUGCAAAUUGAUGUUCGUUUAGUGCAUUAUAAUGCUACAUCCAGAUGGAUCACCCAGCUGAACUCAUCUCAAAUUCUCACCCAAAUGAAGGUGAGUCUUGAUGGUGCAUCUGGAUGCAGAUGCAUCUAGUUCAGNNNNNNNNNNNNNNNNNNNNNNNNNNNNNNNNNNNNNNNNNNNNNNNNNNNNNNNNNNNNNNNNNNNNNNNNNNNNNNNNNNNNNNNNNNNNNNNNNNNNNNNNNNNNNNNNNNNNNNNNNNNNNNNNNNNNNNNNNNNNNNNNNNNNNNNNNNNNNNNNNNNNNNNNNNNNNNNNNNNNNNNNNNNNNNNNNNNNNNNNNNNNNNNNNNNNNNNNNNNNNNNNNNNNNNNNNNNNNNNNNNNNNNNNNNNNNNNNNNNNNNNNNNNNNNNNNNNNNNNNNNNNNNNNNNNNNNNNNNNNNNNNNNNNNNNNNNNNNNNNNNNNNNNNNNNNNNNNNNNNNNNNNNNNNNNNNNNNNNNNNNNNNNNNNNNNNNNNNNNNNNNNNNNNNNNNNNNNNNNNNNNNNNNNNNNNNNNNNNNNNNNNNNNNNNNNNNNNNNNNNNNNNNNNNNNNNNNNNNNNNNNNNNNNNNNNNNNNNNNNNNNNNNNNNNNNNNNNNNNNNNNNNNNNNNNNNNNNNNNNNNNNNNNNNNNNNNNNNNNNNNNNNNNNNNNNNNNNNNNNNNNNNNNNNNNNNNNNNNNNNNNNNNNNNNNNNNNNNNNNNNNNNNNNNNNNNNNNNNNNNNNNNNNNNNNNNNNNNNNNNNNNNNNNNNNNNNNNNNNNNNNNNNNNNNNNNNNNNNNNNNNNNNNNNNNNNNNNNNNNNNNNNNNNNNNNNNNNNNNNNNNNNNNNNNNNNNNNNNNNNNNNNNNNNNNNNNNNNNNNNNNNNNNNNNNNNNNNNNNNNNNNNNNNNNNNNNNNNNNNNNNNNNNNNNNNNNNNNNNNNNNNNNNNNNNNNNNNNNNNNNNNNNNNNGAAAAACUCAUUUUUCCGCGAAAACCGGAAAAGAGCAUUUUUCCCGCCAAAACCAGAAAACUGAAUUUUCCCGCCAAAACCGGAAAAAUGUAUUUUCCCGCCAAAACCAAAAAAAUAUACUUUUCCGCCAAAACCGCCAAAAUGAUUUUCCAAGCCAAAGUCGCAAAAAAUAACUUUUCCCUCCAAAAUCGUGAAAAAAUAUUUUUCCCGCCAAAACUUCAAAACACACUUUUUCCAUCCAAACCGCAAAAACGUAUUUUCCGUCAAACCCAUAAAACGUAUUUUCCGUCAAAACCAUAAAAAUGCAUUUUUCGCGAAAAACACAUAUUUCCUCAAAAACCGCAAAUAUAUUUUCAGCCAAAACCGUUAAAAUGCUAUUUUUCCGCCGAAACAUUAAAAAUUAUAUUUUAGUCAUUUUAUUAACAAGUUCACCUGGAUGCAGAUGGAAGUUAAAAAAUGAAAAUCAAACGAACAUAGUUGCAUUCAGAUGAUUCAUCUGGAUGCAUGGACGAAAUGAAGAAACGAACAACACCCAGAUGGAGCAUCUGGGUAGGACAUCUAGAUGGACCAUCUGGAUGCAUCUUCCAGAUGUACAAACGAACAGGGCCUAUAUGAAAUUGAUAUGUUGAGAAAACUAAUAUUUUGCGUGAUAUAUAAUUUUUUUAGAAAAACACGCAUAUAACUCGAUGAACGUUAAAAUAGUCUCCAAUGGAUAUAUUAUAUAUAAACUCGUUUCUUGUUUUAUCUUUGUAGGCGUUAACACCGCCUCUUGUGGUUAUUUUUGUCACACUUUGCAAAGUAAAUAAAACCAGCACAAACAGAAUUGACUAGUACAUGUAGAAAGAGGAAUGUGGGUUUUUAUUACUCCUAAUCUUUAUCUGGACCCUAAAGGAACAUAUGGGUCAUUGGGAGUUCAUGUGGCUGUAUGCGAGUGUGUCCUAGCAACCAAGCAAUUGCAAAAUCAAAAUCAAGGAGAUAUUGAAGAGAUAAGCCAAAGUGAACAUGGGACAUGUCUUCAACUCUUAAGCUAAUGUUUUAAGUUUAUGUGAAUUUCCAUUGGCAUUGUCACAUGUGAAAUUGUACUAUACACAUGUGGCGUGACCUCUCUGGCCAUGAUUGUAUAAUAAUGUGCAUACAUUAAAAUAGAUUUCAAAUCAUUUAUUAAUUGAGUUAUUUUCUUUCUUUGAUUCUGAUAAUUGGACCUGGGAUUUCAUAAUAAAAUCUCCAGGGUUCUCAUAAUUUAGCUACGAACCCAUAUAUAUCAUAGUAAUUGGAUCUGCAUUUAUGGUUAAAUUUGGAAUAUAAUCACCUACUUUAUCAAUUAUAUAUAUAUUUGUUAAGUAAAUUCCUUGUUAAAAGAAAGAAGGUUAGUGUAUUAACGAUCAUCUACUAGCAAAUAAUUUUUAAUUUUUGAUCAUUGGUAAAACUUUUUUUUAAAGAGGGUAUAUAUAUUCAUUUGGGAUAUGUCAAAGGAAGUCUAAGAUUUUCUACGACGUAAUUUUCAAGUAGUUAGAAACAAUACCACAACACAAUGACAUUGCAACCAUAACUCGCAACCUGCUAAGUUGUUAUAUUGUUCCCAAUGACAUUGUCACAUUAAUAUAACCACGUCCUAAUCAAAAUAUAGGACCUCCAAAGUUAUUAUGUCCAAAAGGAAAAAGGUGAAAUAUUCAAUUACAAAAAAUAAGAGAAUGUGAGCUUCUUUGUAGAUGAUAUAUAUGCAGAGUGUAUGUAAGCUUCCUUUUUAUUCGUAUUAAAAGUUUGUACCGUCCGACUAAUUAGAGAAUGGACUCGGUAAAUUACUGAAUUGAAACCAAUAGCUGAUCAAUAGUUCAAAAUAGAUUGUUGCAGAAUACGUUUAUUUAAGCUCAGAAGUAGUUUGAAUUAUGAGGCAAAACUUAAAAACGUUUGUCUGUCUGAUCAGUCCAUCCAAAUUAAGAGUGGUUCAAGGUGGUGUAAAAUCAAUACUUACGGUUAAUGGGUUCUGAUCUCCAAGAAUUGCCAUGGAUCCCCCACAGUAUAAGAAGAACAAAAUAUAUCCUCAAGACUUUUUUUUUGUUCAACAUAUCCUCAGACUUUAUAUUCUUUUUAAAUGACUAUAAAAUUUUGGACUCAAAAGAUCCGCAUAUCUCUGUAGGACGAGGUUCAAAGUAUGUUAAAUUGAUUUUCUUUAGAAAAAUAUAUCCUUCUCAACAAGAAUAAAACAUCCAACCCCUUGAACAUGUACUAAUUGAUCAAAGAGUUUAGUAUUGUGUUUUGGUGUUCUUAAGGAUUGUCUUAUGGUUUGUACGUAACUAAUGACUAUUCAUUCGCAGAUUUUAUGAAAAGGAAAUAUACAAGAAAGGAAAAAACUGAUUGAGUUCAUUUUUAUAUUUUUAAUCUUACACGAAACACACAACAAGAAUUGUCUGCAGUCACUAACGAUUUUUCGCAACUGAUACUUUUCUCUGAUUCAAAAUCUCUUGUUAAACCCUCAACUUCUCUUCGUCAACAGUUGAACUUCAGAGCUUAUUGUUUGACUGAACGUUGAGGAUUAUGGUGUCACUUAACACCACAAAAUGUUAUAAAUAAAAUUUGUUAGCUUUACAUCAUAGACGAAAGUGGCACAUUUGGUUGAAAAGAUUAUCUGUGAACCAACAGAUCCGGUUUCAAAGUCCCCUACUGAGAAUUUUAUUAUAUAAUUGACCCCUCAUAAAUUUUUUCUUGAAUUCGCCACUGGAGCUGUAGGUUCGAAAUUAUCUCCUUCUCUUUUAUCCCUUUGGGCAAUGUAACCGCUGAUUUUGUAACUACGUCAGGUUUGCUUUCUUCUGUAAACGCUCCCUUUGAGGAGUAACUCUGUUUCAAUGGCAACCAAGUGGUUCAUAAAAAAAAAGAAUUGUCUACAAUCUACAUGGACUUGGUUACAAUACAAGAUUUUAAAGUGCAAUGAUGGGUCUGAUGGAGUAAAUAGUAGUACUAUGUAUUAUAUUUAUACAUAUGACAUAAAGUACUACAACAUAUAACGAAGAAGUUUUCUCUUACAAAUAAAUUGUGUAUUGCUAGUUCCAUUUUCAAUUGUACUUACAAGUAUCACUUAAACAAAAACACUAUCCUAACACGUUCAAGGAUGUAUACAUAACCCAAGAACUCCUCAUGGUGCCAAAUAUAAAGCACCUCAUUACCUACUUAUACUAGUAGAUUUCAUGGUUCCCCUAUCCAAUUUCUCAAAAAAAGAAAUAUUCUCCUAUCUUUCUUAUGGAAUAUUUUCAAAAUUUCUACAAAUUAUUUCUCAGUGAUUUUGUUCUCUAGGAUGUAAAUCUUUACUUGCUUAACCUCCAAUUUUAAUAUAUCUUUAGGUCGGCCUCCAACUCCUUUCUUCAAGUCAAGUAUACAGUUUCGUUUUCUGUAGCAUUUCUUCUACUAAUUCAUGUAAUAUUUCACGACUGAUACAUAAUCACUUCCAAGAAUUAUUUGUCUUCGGCUUCUAAAACUCAAUCUUCACUUGUACUAACAGUUUUGAUGAUCUCUUUGAUGAACAUAGUUUGGUAUAAAACUCUACCUAAAAGGCUAGAGUUGCUUAAACAUUCAUGUAUAAAUUAUGAGAGAGAUGAUGGAAGUUUUUGACGAAUGAGGAUCCAAAGUUGAAUACCUAGCAUUUCAUUAGAUUUGUGAAUUUGAGCUUGUCAUGUGCGAACCUGAUUCAAAAUACUACAACUUUCUUCUUAUCAAUGUGAUAUGCAUGACGUAUACAUCGAAGAACAGUAUUGCAGUUGGCAAACACUCGGUACUAUUCGACCCUAAGAAGCAAACAUGAUAUGGAUAUGACACAUUUAAUUUUAAAAAGUUUUUUUUUUGUAUUAUAACCAAAGUAACUUUUAAAAACGAAAAAUAGUUUUUUUUUUAGAAUCUAAAAUGUUUACGUAUCGCUGCAUUUGUUAGAUGAAUUAUCCUUCAAAAUUAUUGAGAUUCCCAUAAUCGGCUCUUAUCUCGAACUAACAAUUUGUAUAUUAUCAUCUAAAAGCCUUUCGUCAUAGAAUUUAUUUUUAUAAUAAUGUACUCUCUUCAUGAAUAUACAGUUUAAAAUCAGAACCAAAUGCUUAUUUCUUCCACAUUCUCUAACCGUUCUUAAUAACCAAUUCUACCAUAUUCGUCUUACUAAUUGGUAGCCAUAUAAGCGAUUUGUUUCCAACCACAACUUUUGGCAGCUAUAAUCAAAGCCAAAUUGUGUAUGUUGUUCCGAAUCAAUGAAAGCUCUCAUAAUUUUAGAAAUCACUACAAUUAGACAUGUUCAAUCCUGAUCUGGUUCAAUUUUUUUCUUUCUGUAUUUCGGUUUUAUAAAAACUAACUACCACAUUGAAACCAUAUUUAAUUUGGUUUAGUUCGGUUUAUAUAUCAUCAGUUUUCGGUUUAUUUACUUUUAUAACAAAAAAUCAUAACCAUAUUUAUCUUUUAUAACAAAAUUUAGAUUAUAUAAUUAGAAAUCAGGUUUAUUAAAACAUAAAUACAUAUUCUUUUCUCUAAAUUUUAAAUAUAAUAUUUUCUGUUUAUUUAACUAUUAAAAUAAAGUAAUAAAAUACUAAUAUCAUAAUAUUAUUAUAUUUUUAUAUUUUAACACAAUAGUUACCAGUAAAAAUUAUGUUUUAUUUAAUUUGAUGAAAAUAAGAAAAACAAAAUAACCUUUUAGCUUAAGACAAAUAAAAAUUUAUUAAAUUCAAUAUUUCAAUUAUGAAUAUUAUAUUGAUGAUAUAAAUUAUGUAUACAUUAUGAAGUUUAUUAUAAAAUUUAUAUAUAAGUAUAAUGAUAUUUUUAAUUAAUCGGUUUCUUUAGUUUAUUCGGUUUUUAGUUUAUAUUUAACCAUAUCUAUAUAUUGCGGUUUCUUAAAACUAACAUUCAGGAUUUAUUUAGUAUUAUUAUAUCCAAAACACUUGUUCUAUUUAUCGGAUUGAAUACCAUUACUAUAUAUAUAUAUAUAUAUAUAUAGCAAGACUUGGGCCAGAUCCAAAUCAGUGGUUUGCUUUAUUGGUUCAAGAGCCCGUGUAACCGAAAUUUCAGUUUCAUUCUUUGGAGUGACAACUAAGGAGGCGACUGGUUUUCCCGCUACCACCCGCAAACGCAGCUUUUGCGGUUGGUAGCGAGUGUCGGCGGUUUGCAACAAUCACUCAAAUCGCUCUAAACCGCUUCAAACCGCUCCGAAUCUCAUCUUAAUUUAAGUAAGGUUAGCCAAAAAUAAGGAAUAAGAUCACUGAAAAAAAUUAAAUUACCGCUUUACAGGAAUUAAACAAAGAGGGACAUCGUAUCAUUUCCCAAAUUGUUCAAAAAUUAGUUGAUUAAUCUAUGUUUUUUCACAAGAGAAGUAUUUUUCCUUCUAUUUUCUUCUGUUUAAGAACUUAGAAAAAUAUAACCCUUUCUCUCUCUUCAAAAAUACUCUGCCUUCUCUCAUCAAUCCUCCAUUGUUGAAGCUUGCUCUCCGACUCCGGUUGCUCUCUCAGAGCCGGAGUCGGGUUUAGUUUCUUUGAAUCAUCCUUUUUGGUUUCAAUCGGUUUAGAUCUUCAUGUCUUGUUCUCGUUUUCCUCUUUGGUUGGAUUUCAGAUCUAGAUCUUAUCUUUACCGGGGGAUGAGAGCUUGCAUGUCGUUCUCUGUGUGUGAUAUUGAUCGAUCUAGUUGAAGUGAGUUGGGUUCUGUUUCCCUUCUUUUUGGUCGCAUUAUGAACCUGUUUUUGGGUUAAAUGAUUUGCAUGUUGGCUUUGAACUCUCUUUGGCUCAUUUUGGGUCUCGAUCUUCGUCCUUCUUGAUCUCUCGAGAAUGGCUGAACCCAUUUAUGAGUUGUCUCGCUCCUUGUCAUUUACCAAAAGAUUUGAUCGAGUUCUUAUCUCUCGUCUUGCUUCAUCUCGACGUCUCGUGACGUUCUAUCUCCGUCAACGCAUUCCCGGUUGUAGACUUAAGAACUGAAAUUGUUCUGUCUCCUGGAUCUUGAAAGCUUGAAGCACUGGUCUCUUAAUCGCAUGGAUUAUUCUCUAUAGGAGGAGUCACAAGCCGGAGGUUUUAGCUUUGGAUAGCAUCCUCGCCUUGUCUCGUUCAAAGGGGUUCAUUUGAAGUCAUCGUGCUUUAUUGUUCACUGUUUUGUAAAGGUUCUUUUGUUUGGUUCCUCACUUCUUCUAUUUUAGAUUGGUUAGUAUUAAGGAUGGUUCAUGUUCUUAUCUUUAAUUCCUAUGUUUGGGCUUAGCUUCUCCGUUGUUGGAGCCUUGGACUCUGGAGGUUUUUUAUAAACCUGCCGGCAAAUGUAACCUAAACUGUACUCCACCCGUGUAAUCUCUGUUGGUUAAUAUAAUUAGUGUUAAAAAAAAAUCUAUGUUUUUUCACUUUAAAGGUGUUUCAGUUUAUUACUUCUGCUCUUCACUGUUUUAAACUAGUGAAGGGAAUAUUGUAAUAUAUUCUCUACUAAUCGUGAGAAAAGCACAUGGAGAGUUAUUUAACGUGCGAAGAUAACAUUAUUAUAAUAACUAGAUCCUCUGUCCGCGCUACGCGCGGAUUAUAAAUUUUAAAUAUAUUAUUCAUAAUUAUUAUUAAUAUGUGAAUAUUUUUACUUUGUAUUAAAUUUAACUUUAAUGUUUGAUAGUAUCUUUAGCAGUUUUCUAUUAUUUUUUUUACGUUUUUGUUUUCUAUAGAUUAAGAAAUUUUAAAAAAUUUGGUAUAUGCACCACUUAGCUUUGGUCUUAUGAUAUGUCUACAUUUUAUGAACACACUGAAGAUGGUAUUGAAAUCAGCUUAUCUUUUAUGUCAUGGAGGAGCGAAUACAAAAUGAAAUUUGAUAUGGAACAUAUAGCCAUUUUCGUGUAAUUAAUAUUUGAUUUAAGUGUAUUUAUAUAUAAAUUUAGCGCUAAUUAUAAUGGAAACAAAAAGAAGCCACACCCUCUUUUGCGGGUGAAUACUAAUUUUUAUUCACUAUUUUCGAUUGGUUUUAAAAUAUGUAGUAGAUGGUAAAUUAAAUUGGAUUUUGUGUGUGUCUUUGUUGUAAUAUUAGUUUGCAAUGUAUUAUUACUUGUAAUCAUUUUACUCUCAUGUGUCAGAUAUUUGUGUAUCCUUUUCGUUUUAAAUGUUUAUCUUUUGGUGAAUAAAGAACAUACACUUAUUUAUAAAGAGGAGAUAUAUAUUUUAACAAAGAAUAUUAUUUUUAUUUGAAUAAUAUAUGUUUCUGGUUGCAAGAAUACUAUAACAUAUUUAUGUAUAUGAGAAAAUGCAUUUUUGAAAUCAAUAAAUGUAACAUUUUAUUUUCUUCUAAAGUUAAUGUCCAUGUACAGUUAUGUAUUGUAUUUAAAUAUGAUAUUUAUAUUUCUGAAGUUCAUAUUCUUCUAAACCACUGGAUACAACUUAUUGUUUGUAGAAUUUUGCUCCUACUAUAAAAGUGUAACUAGAUUUUGACCCGCGCAACCGCGCGGGUGUUUGUUUUUACUUUUUUUAUACAUAAAUUAUUAUUUUUAAACAUUAGUGGUAUAUUUUUUUAACAUUAAUCAUAUACUUAAAUGUUUAUAUAACUAUUUCAAAUAUAAUAAUAUUAUAUUUUACAUGUUAUAAUCAAUCAUUUGAUUAAAACCGUAUGUAUUUUUACUUCUUAUUAUAUAUUUAUCUUAUUGUAUUUGCAUUUAGUUAUUAAGCAAAUUAAUAUAUUCAUGAAAGCAGGUGAAUACUAAUUUUUAUUCACUAUUUUCGAUGGGUUUUAAAAUAUGUAGUAGGUGGUAAAUUAAAUUAGAUUUUGUGUGUGUCUUUGUUGUAAUAUUGGUUUGCAAUGUAUUAUUAUUUGUAAUCAUUUUACCCUCAUUGUCAGAUAUUCGUGUAUCCUUUUCGUUUUAAAUGUUUAUCUUUUGGUGAAUAAAAAACAUACAAUUAUUUAUAAAGAGGAGAUAUAUAUUUUAACAAAGAGUAUUAUUUUUAUUUGAAUAAUAUAUGUUUCUGGUUGCAAGAAUACUAUAACAUAUUUAUGUAUAUGAGAAAAUACAUUUUUGAAAUCAAUAAAUGUAACAUUUUAUUUUCUUCUAAAGUUAAUGUCCAUGUACAGUUAUGUAUUGUAUUUAAAUAUGAUAUUUAUAUUUUUGAAGUUCAUAUUCUUCUAAACCACCGGAUACAACUUAUUGUUUGUAGAAUUUUGCUCCUACUAUAAAAGUGUAGUAGUUUUUUGAUUUCUCAUUUUUAAAUGUGUUGUAAUUGAUAGUUUUUUUAAAUGUAAUGUAAUUGAUAGUAGGAUUUCAUUUUUUUUUAUAUUGUUGGAUUAACGCUUCUAACCAGCCGGUUAAUUGUUUCUUAGCAUAUUAAUUUCUCAUGUAUCACAUAAGAAUAUUUGUCAAGCUCUCUUUUUCGACUGCUUGUUUUAUGUGUUUUAUAGUUCAGCUUUUUGUGGAUACAUGUCGUUGUUUAAUGUUUCACUUGUAUAUUAACGUUACUUUGUUGUUAUAGUAUGUAAUUAUUUUGUGGAAAUGAUUGAUACAACAAUGAUAAUAUGUGAUUAUAUGAUUUUUGUGUUAAUUGUUGGUGUUAACUUUCGGAGUAUAUUUAUUGUAGUUUUAUUAUUUUGUUGCUGUCAUUAAUUGUCGCUUAAAUUCUUUAUUUGAACCAAUUUUAAAUGUUUCUGUUUUUAACUUUUAGUUCAUCUUAGUUUCAAAAAAAAAACUUUUGGUUCAUCUUAUUUAUUUCUUUUUGUGUUUUGGCCAUAAUAUUUAUUUUGUAUGUAUGGUUCCACUUUUUAUUUUUUCAAUUCAUUUGUUAUUUUACGUAAAACUAUAAGCUAUUAACUAAUUUUCUGCGAUUCUUUGUAAAGACAACGUGGUCCAGUGGCAAAAGACGGUUUUAUGACGGAGGAUGUCACGGGUUCAAAACGCUGGUCCUUCCUUUUUGUUUUAGAAUUUUUUUUUUCAUUAAUGGUAAACUUGUAAUUAAAUCGUCUUCUUCCUUUUAGGGCUUUCACUUCUACUGCGAAAUUUUCAUUGCCGCCUCGAACUUUUUUAACAUAAAACAUCGUUUUCUUGCAAUUUUCUUAUCAAUUUUUGCAUAAAAACUGUAGAUUUGCGACGUAACAUCAAAUUCCAAGCGUUUAAAAUUCAAAAUCCUGGACUUUUUUGAUGAAUCUGAUUUUUUGUCCGAUUUUGAUGAAAUUGCGGCGGUUCUGUACCGCCGAGCGUUGCAAGGCCGUGUACUCGGCCGAGUUGCCGCGUUUUUGAACAUAGCCUGCGGUUGAUAAACUAUACUAUUCAUCGGUUGAGUGUUUCCGAGUCGAUGUGAAUUUUGAACUGGAAAAUUGUAUUUAGAACUGAAGCAAAGAUGAUGAAAUCGACUCAAACAGACAAAUCAAUCUAUUAUUAGUGACUUUGUAGGUUGAAUCAAUAUAUAAUUAUGAGUGAUAGAGGAAGGUUUGGGAGAUAAGAAGAUAGUCUUCUCAAAAAACGUUUUUGCAAGAGGAAAAAAAAAUGAGAAGAUCAAUUGAAAUAGGUUCGAAGCUUUUUGAGAAGCUUGAUGAUGUCGUGACCAAACAAUGCUAUCUGAUUGGUUGAAUUUAAUAAAUGACGUGGACAGCUUUAGAGUGAAGUAUAUCGGGCUUUUAGUAUAGUAUAGAUAAUAACUGUAAUAAUUCUCUAGUAAUUAAUUUACUAAUACCAUAUACGAUUUUUUAAUAUAUAAAUAAUUGAAUUUUAUCCACAUGUUCGACGAGGAAAAUAACAUAUAUUGGUAUCCACAGUAUGCCAUACAGCUAUAGAAUUAUUAAACCGACGUGAUUACCACUUUUAUUUCUUGAUAUUAUUCUCUAGUGAUGUACUUAUAAUGCAUAUGUGAUAAUUAUAUAUAGAGUUGCCAGGAAAUGUGUUAUUUGCCACAUCUGUUUGUUAAUGUUUAUUCUCUCAUGUUAUAAAGCUGAUAAUGUCAUAAUGAUAUAGUUAACAGAUUUUUGAUAUAAUUAGCAGUUGUUCUAAAGGGGGCAUAAGUUGAUAAAUACUUCGUACUUAUAUAUUGUUUUGAAUAUAACGAGGCUCGGUCCGCAAAAAUUGUUUCGGCGCCUAUCAAAUUUCAAACCUAGUAACUACCAGUCAAUAGAGGUGAGACACAACCCUUGUAAUACAUUAUACAUGUAUAUUUAUAUAUUGUGGCGCCCUUUAAUAUUUAAUCUAGUUUUGCACAUAAAGCAGUUGUUUCUCCUGUUUUCGACUAGGACCGGCACUGAAUAUAAUGCACACUUUUUUUUGGUAACAUUUAUAGCAUUACCGAAGUUAGCACUCCUUUAUAUUUGGUUUUGUGAAACACAUUUUAUGAGAAAUUAAUUCUUGGAAUUACAUAGGAAUAGUCUAAUGGUAAGCCAACAAUUAAAGCUAAGUGAUCUAGAUUUGAAUCAAUUUCACAACGCUAAACCUAUGUGGUCAUAUAAAUAUUUGAUGUUAUAUUUUAGAUCUUAUUUAAAUACUCAAAAGGAAGGUCAGUCUAUAAGAUGCAUUUCUUGUUAAAAAGUAGUCUAUAUUUUUCUAUAAAUUUAAAAUACCCUCAAAUUAAUAAAAAUAUAAGAAUCACAUUUUCGGUAGUUACGAAAUUUCUUCCUGAUGGGGAUUUCUCCCAUUUAGCACCUAGCAGAUUUUAAUUUCUGAACUAUGGUUUUAAUUUAUUAACUAGAUUUUGAUCCGCGCUUUCAAAACGCGGGAUUAUUUUCGAAACAUUCCAAAUUUAUUUGAUAUAAAUUUGUAUUUUAAUUGUAUCUACACUUAGAUAUUACAAAUGAAAAAUUAUAUUCAAUGUUUUGAAAUCCGACCCGACCCGCAGUUAAAUUGCCAAAUUCGGUGGUUCAUAUGUAAUCCAUUUUAGUUUUCAAAAAAAAAAACUGUUAUUUAAAAAUUUUGUAAAACCCGUAACAACUGUUAAAACCCGAGAUCUGGUUAUCGGUUGAACUGAUAGAUGACCUAAUAUGUAAUCCGGUUUGAUUUAUUAUUAUAUUUAGAGUAUUGUAAUAUAUAUUCAUGAACGUUCAGAUGAAUAGUGAAUAUAUAAUGAAAUUGAUAUUCCAAUUUUAAUACAAUUUUAGUCCAACUAAAAUUCCAUCUUGUUAAUGGAUUAAUAUUUGAGUGGAUACAUACUAAAAAUAAAAUAGAUUUGAGCAUCAAUAAUAUGUAUACGUCUAUUACAAAUUAAUGAUUUAAGUUUGCAAAAAAAAAUAUAAUUGUUUAUUUAGUUAGUUUACUUUUGUUAUUCGCAUAUUAUUAGAUAAUUUUUGAUGUUUUGUCUAUGGCUUAUUUUAAAUUUAAAAGUUAAUUUCAUUAUUCGCAUUAGAAAUGUAAAUAUUUAUUAUUUUAAUUUUGAUAUAUAUUUUUAUUAUAUUUAGUUCUUAAUUUUUAUAAUUUAUAGAUAUAAUAAUGGUCCAACCUAGACUAUUUGUAAGUAGAUAAAAAUUGCUUCUGUUUUAAUAGUAUUGAUUGAGUGGCCAAUAAGGAACAUAAACAAUUUAAAUAGUAUAUAUAUAUAUUUUUUGUAAAUAUAACUAAUUAAUAUUUUUCUGAUUGUGAAUGAUCAUAUUCGUCUUUCUAUUAUGUAGUAUCUAUUUUCACCGGUUAAACUAUUUUAGUUUUAACUUCAGAAAUGAUAAAUUGAUUUUAGUCUGAGUAUUAAGGCUUAACUAGUAGAGGUGAUGACAAAAUAAAAUUAGUAUGCUAUAGAAAAAAUAUACUACAAAAUAAUAUAUGUUUAUAAACAUAAUUAAUAAAGUGAUUAGUAAAUCAGUAGACGACAUAUAUAAAAACUAUCAUAUAAAAUGAUUAUAUAAUAUAUAUUUCUUUAAUUAUAAAUAAUAAAGAUAUAAUUAAAAGAUAUAUAUAUAUAUAUUAUUUUUGUAUUUUAUUGAUAAUAGUGAAUCAUAUUUAAUUAUAUUUUAUAUGUUAAAAUAUUGUUAAAAUAAAAAUAUUAUAACUUUAAAUUUAUUUUAAAAUAGAAAUUUAAUUUUUGAUACAAGUAUAAUUUUGUGAUAUUAUUAAAUAUAAUAAAGUAAUAUUAAUUAUCUUUAAAAUUUUAUAUAAUUUUUUUUGUCAACAAAAUUUAUAUAAUUUAAAUGCAAAUGUUUAACCAAAAUAUUCAAAUGAAAGCACUAACAAUGAACAUUUGGAGAUCAUUUGCAUCUUUUAAAUACUUUUAAUAAUUAUUGAUUAAAAAUUUAUUAAUAUUCUUACAUAAAAGACAAAAUAUCUAUAAUUUAUUUUCUUAUUUAUUCUAAAUUCGCAUUUUUCCAUACAAAAAUAUUAUAAAACCAUAGAUGGAGUAAUUGUGAUUCUUGAUUGGUCGACAAUAAACACAAGAAUGUGUUGUUCAGAUUUUAACCGGACCUCAUCUUUCACCCUAGAUGACUAAAUACAUAUUUACUUACCUAGCAUCAUGAUCUUUCCUGGUAUUGGUGGAUUGUAUAGUAUAUGGUAAUAUUAGCUAGAUUAUACGUCAAAUUUUAAAUGGUGAAUUUGAUUUUAGAUUCCGAUGCUGAUAUGCAAAAUUUUGUAAGGAUACUGAAAAUCCAAGUUUUUAACUUGAAUAUAUUAAAUCAAUUUUUUUAUUGAUUGUAUAAUUAUUUCAAUUUUUCAAUGUUACUUUAGAUUUUCUAGAAUUUCAUUUUUGCUAAGUUCAGUUAUUUAUAACUAUUUUACAUGGCAAGAAUUUGUCAUUCAUAAAAGACUUACAAUUAAUGAUUUCUUACCAACAAUAGCUAUAUUAAAUUAAUUAAAAUAUAAUUUUGAGCAUUUCCUACAAACUUUUUUUCUAUUGUGUUUGUUAUUUUUAUAUGUUUGGUCAAAAGAAAUUUAUCAAUGGUAAGUGAAAGCUGAUCAUUUCAACUGUACAUAUACUAUUUUUAUUAAAUGAAAAGAGAUUUUUUUUUUUGUUUUUUUUUUGCGAAAUCCACCUCAAUAUUUUAUAAAUUUCUGCCGAGUGCUAAUGAUAACAUUUGUGUUGAAAAUUUGUUCUUAAAAUUCAGAAAUCAAUUUUCUAUUAAUCAAAAAGUUCGGAUAUGGCCAAAAAGGAGAAGAAUGAUACGCGUUACAAAAUAAGUAAAGGAUUAUACAAAAAGUGGCAACAAAUUUUCUACAAAGAGGAAACAAGAGAUUACGCCGUGAAAUAUGCUUUAACGUAUAUAAAAAAUCCACAUGCAAACCAACACCACCUCGUCGAAGGCCACGUCUCUUCAUCUGACGGCUGCAGUUACAUCAUCAUUGAAAAAGCAGUCAAAACUAUAUAAAAAGAAAAUAAUCUUUUAAAAAAAUAGUCACACAAAUUCAUCCAUAAAUCACCAUUGUUAACCUUUUUUUCUCCUUCCUUUCAUCUUUCUAAAAAAUUCAUUUUUACAACCAAAAACUAAAGUUCAAGAAAACACAGAAUAAAGGAAUAAUCUCUUCGUGUGUGCGUGUAUAUAAAAAGAUAUACAUAUGCGUGGGUAUGAUUCUUGGGAUGAUCGACAUGCAACGAUGAAAUCAUCAUCCAUUUUCCGAGAAAGUUCAGACAAAACAGAGAGAUGGAUUGUAACAAACAUGGCAAGAUUAUCACCAUUUCUCUUGUCUUCUCUUUGUAUAACUAUCUUCUUCACAGGCUUCUUCGUCUUCCAUCAGAAUCCUUUCAUCUCGGAUCAAAACUUUCUCACCCUGCACCCUCUAAUCGGUAAGGUAUAACCAAUGAUAAUAUAAAACAUUUUCAAACAAAAAUCUUGUAUAUAGUAUAUAUAUACGUACAUAUAUGGUUUUAUGUUGAUUAAUAUGAUGAUUGUGGAUUAUUUGUACCCUUACAAACGUGUAUGAUUUUAUGUUGAACUAGUUCAUGUGUUUUGCUUUUGUCUGAAACCUCUCAGCUUUGUAAUGAUUCACUUUUUGUUUGUUCUUUUGAUAUUGUCUCAGAAUUUUGUAGAUUUGUUUUUUUUUUAAAUUUAAAUUUUUAUUGAUUUGUUUUAUCUUUUGUUGUUGUUGUGGUUUGGUUAGAUCCUAAAUGUGAUUUGUUCAAGGGACAUUGGGUUCCAGACAAAAGAGGAUCUCUGUACACAAACUCAAGCUGUUCUACGCUUCCUGACUCCAAGAACUGCAUAAAACAUGGGAGAUUAGACAGAGAUUUCUUGUUUUGGAGAUGGAAACCUGAUGGCUGCGACCUUCCUAGGUUUAGUCCCAAGGAGUUUCUUAGAAUGGUUCGAGGCAAGAAGAUGAGUUUUAUUGGUGAUUCUGUAGCAAGGAACCACAUGGAAUCUCUUCUUUGCUUGUUGUCAAUGGUGAACUUUAAAUCUUUUUCUAAGGAGAUGUAUCUUGCUUUGCUUACAAGAAAGUUGAAUAAUAGUGUUUGCUUGUGCAGGAAGAAACUCCUAAGGAUAUCUACAAAGAUGGAGAAGACAGAAACAGGAUAUGGUACUUUCCUAACCAUGAUUUCACACUCUCUACCUCUUGGACUAAGUUUCUCGUGGAGGAACAUGAGAGGGUAGACGGUAACAAGACCGGAACUGGAUUGUUUGAUAUAGAUAUUAGCAAGAUGGAUGAAGGAUGGUUCAAGGGUCUGCCAAAUACAGACAUUGCUAUUGUCUCGGCUGCUCACUGGUUCUUCAGACCAAUAUUCAUACACAGAGGAGAUGAAACCCUAGGUUGCAUCUAUUGUAACGUACCAAACAUGACACAGCUUAGUCCUGACCAAGGGUUUAAGCUUGUUUACUCAUCUGUCUUUAAACACAUCAAUGAAUGUGAUAACUGCAAGAGAGAUUUAGUUACAGUCAUGAGGACUAUCUCACCUGCCCAUUUCGAGAACGGGACUUGGGAUACAGGAGGAUCAUGCAGAAGGACAAGCCCUUUUGGUGUUAACCAGAUCGAUCUGCAGAGCAACGAGAUGAAGAUCAGGACAUCUCAGAUUGAACAGCUUGAAGUUAUAACGAAAGGCGACCACAAGGGGAAGAAGAAGUUUGGUGUUUUGGAUGUGACUAGGGUUAUGCUGAUGAGACCUGACGGCCAUCCGAAUAGUCACUGGGGAAACAAAUGGAUGAAAGGUUACAAUGAUUGCGUCCACUGGUGCUUGCCUGGGCCUAUUGAUGCGUGGAACGAUUUUUUAAUGGCGAUACUUAGACAGUUAAGAUGAUUAUUCAUGGAUAAACAAACAAACAAAAAGUUAAAACAUUCUUUCACAUUUCUUAUGAAUAAGUACCUUCAGUCAUCUGAUUUUUUUUGCUUCUGCUUCUAGAUAUCUCUGUUGUUACAUAGAGUUUACACAAUACUCAAUACCAGUAUUCUAAAGAUCUGCGUAGUCGGCAAAUCGGAUCUAAACAAUUUUUGUAAACAGGUUUUUUUUAAAAAAAUUGGUCUAGUGUUUAAACAAUAAUCUUCUAUAAGGCAUCCAACCGCCACCACCUAGGAAUUUAUUGAACAUUGCCUCAAUACAACACACAUCACUUUCAUUUACCUCAUAUAUACAUACUUGCCCCAGACCUUCUGCAUAGAGUAAUGAUUCACGCUGAUAAGCAGUUGAAUCCUGCAAGACAUGAGCAGCGAAACAGCUUCGAGCAAACCAUAUUGGUGCAACAAACACAAAAGCAUAAUCUCUCAGAUUAAUAAAUAAUAACGAGCUUUAACUCCAAUCUGCAGAGAACAUUUCAAGCACAUGGGAGAAGCUCUGCAGAACAAGAAAGAUCAAAUCUUUUACAGAAAACAACUCGAAACAGACACAAAACAGCUAAGUUCUUAAGCAAAGUACAUAGCUUUCUGCACUGUUCCAUCAAAUUACAUAAAACCCAAUAAGCUAAAAAGAAAAAGACACAAAGUGAUAAUAAUAAUCAAGACUACUCCAAGUUGUUACCAAGAGCGAAAGAGAAGACUUCACGAACAGGAGAGAACUCAACGACCCCAACAUCCAUCGCGUAGCCACUCACGGGCAUCUUCAAGUCCCUCAAAACGGAGAAAGCCUCAGCCAUGCGAGCCCUCGGCACAUCGACCGCCACGGGGCAGAACGGGACCCACGAGUCCUGGCGAAACUCCUCGCCGAUGUCGAAGCCUUCCUUCUUGACGGCGUCGAGAAGCUGAGCGUGGAGGUGGAGGAGGGAGAGGGAGGGGGUGGGGGAGAGGAAGAGGGCGUUGUUGUCGCCGGAGAAGCUACCGAGGGAGGAGAAGGAGAGAGGGAGGGGCUCCUGCUUGGAGGCGAAGGCUUUGAGGAUGGGCUCGAGCUUGGAGGAGUCGAGGAAGGAGGAGGAGAGGAGGGUGAGGUGGGGGCGGGACUCGGUGGUGAUGAGCUUGGUGCUGAUCUGGCGGCGGGCGAAGACGUUCCAGGCUUUCAGGACUUGGUUCUCCAGCGCUGGGUCGAAGUAGAGCUCGAUCGCGUACCCUUCUGACAUUAGAUCUGGGAGAGAGAGAGCGAUUGAGAUUUGGGAGUGGUGGAGAAAGGUGGAAGCUUGACAGCGAGAAGACAAAGGGGAAAGGGGAAAGCUUCUUUUAAUUGGUCUGUGGAUCGAAUGAGGAAGAAGAUUGUUUUCUCAUAGGUGAAGGUGAUGAGUACGUGAAUUACUCAGAAAUUAGUUAGAGAUCUAAUGUGAAACAAAAUAAAAGUAGGAGGAGCAAAAAGCAAUAUCUGAAUAGUACGCCAAUUAUUUAGAAAUUAAGUAGAGAUUUAAUGUAAAAUGAAUUAAGAAAAAAUACCCAACAUAACAUAUACUAAUUUUUAGCAAACAAAAUAAAUAAUAAUUUAAAUAAAUAAAUGAAAAGAAAAGAAAUUUAACUAGCAAUAAUCUAUGAUCUUUUCAAUUGUUGACCGGAACCUGUAGUAAUGAUGAGUUAAUUAUAUGUUUUCUUGUAGUGAUGAGACUAUCAUGUUGAUUCUGAUCAUAUUUGUUCUUGUGAUUCUGAUCAUAUUUGUUCUUGUGAUUCUGAUCAUAUUUGUUCUUGUGAUAGUAACCAAGAACAAAUGAUGGGUUAUGUAUAGGUCUCUCUUUGUUCUUGUUCUCUGUGUUCGAUGCCUUUUUUUUUUUUUGAACACUACUUUCAUUAACUUCAAACGAAAAGAGUUAGGUAGGGGCAAUAACACCCUCAACCAUACAAAGUGCUUCCUUUGAUAAGGAAUCAGCAACAAGAUUUUUAUCUCUAGGGAUCCAAGAAAACAAGAUCGAAAUGUCGGGGAGUCCGCUCAGGUGGAGAAUGUCCGAGAGAAUCCCAUGCACCUCCGCGAUGCAUUCCUUUUGGUUUAUUGCUUUUAUCAGCUGUGCUGAAUCAGACUCUAGGAGAAUGUCGUUCAAACUAUGCUCUCUGCAGAACAACAGAGCUUCCCGAAUGGGUAGUCCUUCUGCAACGAGGGGUGAAGAUACGUGCCCGUGGGGUUUCUUCCUUCUAAUUUCAAACCUCUCUGUCUUCACUGUCCAGCCGAGCCCGGCUUUCUUAUCUUCCUUCCUCCAGGCUGCAUCAGAGCGAACGAAGGUAGCAGCGGUGCACGCUUCAGUCGCCGAUGGCGUUGCCUGAGUAGGAGUGACCUUCUCUACUUUUUGUCCUUGUUCCCAUUCCUUUGCCGCUCGAAUAGCGGUAGCUAGUGUGUCCUCUGGUGAUGCAGAAGCACCGUUGAAGACGAAUCUGUUCUGUUUUUUCCACAAGGUCCAGAGGAUCCAUGGAACUAGUUGACUCGUAAUUAGCCCUGUGGGGGGCAGUGCUGGAGUUGAGCAGAGGGACGUCCAUCGUGUGUCUAAAUCUACGAUUCCUCUAUGAUCAAAACCCAAAGCCAAGGGGGCAUCACGCCAGACCUGUUGAGCAAAAGGGCAGUGGAAUAGUAGAUGAAUGAUAGAUUCAGAUUCUCCGCAGCGCUUACACCGAGGAUCGACAUCAAUGUGGCGCUCGACUAAGCGUGCUCCUACUGGUACUGCUCUCUUCAGGACUUUCCAAGCGAACAUCUUUACCUUCGGAGCAACUUUCAGGUUUCAAACAUUCUUGUACCAGGGGCAGUUCACACUCGGUCUUGUGUCCUCUUCUCCCUCCUCCUGAGCUAGCAAAAUAGUAGCCCGAUUUGGUAGAGUAAGCUCCUGAUUUGGUUCCUAGCCAGACCUGUUUGUCUUGGGCAUUUUUGAUGCUUGGUUUGAUGGUCAGGAUGUCCUUCUCGUAUUGUGGUAGAAACAACCGAAUUUUCUCUACGUCCCAUUCUCCUUGACGGUUUGUUCGCAGAUCAGCCACAGUAAGGUUCACAAAAGCUUCUGAGGCUGGCCCGUAAGGUCGCUUCUGUUUCGAGUGAUCAAGCCAAGGGUCAUACCAAACGUUGAUGCUCUGACCAUUUCCCACAACCCAACCCAAGUUCUGAACCAAUAGAUCCCUACCAACUAGUACACUUCUCCACCCGUGUGAGAUAGCUGUAACAGCUUCUACGCUCAGGAUAUCAGUCUCUGGGAAGUAUUUCCCUUUUAGCAUUCUACUUAGCAGAGAAUCAGGGUUUUCAAAUAUCCUCCAACUGAGUUUUGCAAGUGCUGCUUCGUUGUAUCGUUGAAAAUCCCUGAAUCCUAAUCCGCCCAAAGCUUUUGGUUUUGUCAAUUCCGUCCAAGCUAUCCAUGCCAUCUUUUUCUUGCCCGAGCUGUCGUCCCACCAGAACCUUGUGAUGGCCGAUUGGAUCUCCUUGCAUAGUGAGACUGGGAGUUGAAAACCUGUCAUGGCGUGAGAGGGGAUAGGAGACAGCACACUCUGUAACAGGACCAUUUUCCCUGCCGCAGACAAGUAUCUCGUGGUCCAGGAGCCUACUUUCUGUUUGAUUCUGUCGACGAUGGACGAGAAAAGGUCUCGUUUCUUCCUGCCAAAGUGUUCCGGGAGGCCUAAGUAUUUGCCUACUCCGCCCUCUUUUUGGAUGUUCAUCACGUUCUUCACUAUCGCUUUUAGGGGCUGAGGAGUUCUCUUAGAAAAUGUGAUCGAGGACUUAUCCACAUUGAUUGCCUGGCCGGAUGCAUCCCCGUAGCGCUGGAUGAUUUUCAAGAGUGUUGCUGCUGCUUCUCGUGACGCUUGUACGAAGAACAUAGUGUCAUCCGCGAAUAGUAGGUGGUUGACCCGGGGGCAUCCCCUUGCUACUAAUGCCUUUUAGGCUUCCAUCUUCUUGUGCUCGGUUACAAAGGCCCGAGAGGACUUCACUGCACAAAAUAAAUAAGUACGGUGAUAGAGGGUCUCCUUGACGGAUUCCUCUACUCGGUGAAACCAAACCUCUAGCCGAGCCGUUAAUGAGGAAGGAGUAUGUAACCGUUGAGAUCCAUUGUGCGACCAGAUUAAUCCAUCUAGGGUGGAAGCCAAGCUGUCGCAGCACAAGGGAAAUGAAAUCCCAUUCGAGCCUAUCAUAGGCUUUGCUCAUGUCGGUCUUAACCGCCAUCGAACAUCGUUUUUCCGCUUUUGAUGUCUUAAGGAAGUGGAGAACCUCAUGUGCUAUCAACACAUUAUCGGAGAUAGCCCUUCCCGGCACGAAGGCCGAUUGGUUCUCAGAGAUAAUGGAUGAUAGUAUGGGUUGUAGCCGUCGGGUGAGGAUUUUAUAGAAGAUCUUGUAGUAGACGUUACACAAGGCUAUGGGCCUGUAGUCCGCUACCCGCUGCGGAUUUUUUAUCUUAGGAAUGAGUCGAACAUGAGUGGUAUUGAUGCUGGCGGGUAGCUUGUCUAACUCAAACAUGUGUUGGACCUCUUUGACAAUGUCCGACCCAAUCUCCUGCCAGUGUGUCUGAUAAAAGGUUGCCGAGAAUCCAUCCGGGCCAGGUGCCUUAUCUGCAUGUAUGGAGAAAAGCGCUUCCCGGACUUCCUGCGCCGUAGGCACCGCAAUCAGAGCUGCGUUUUCCUCCUCCGUGACCAACGGCUGAAGCGCUUGUCUUAUUGUUUCCUCCUUAUUACUGGUUGUAGCUGUGGACGUAUACAUCUCCUGAUAAUACUUCACUAUCACCUUUACAAUUUCCUCUUCUUUAUAGCACUCUUUGCCGUCAGAGUCUUCCAAGACUGAGAAACUGUUAGCCCUUUUACGUUCUUUUGUAGUGGCAUGGAAAAAACCCGUAUUACGGUCCCCAAGUCAUAACCAGAGCAAUCUGCUCUGUUGCUUCCAGUACGAUUCUUCCGCCAGAUACGCUUCAUUCAGCGCUAUUGUUAUGUCACGGAUUAGUUCUGUGUCGUUCCGCGGGGAUGUAAGAGCUAGUUCCAGUUCUUUUUGUUUCUGCUCGAUGAUGAGCCUACUGUUUCACUGUUGUGUUUUGUUCCACUCUGUCAAUGCAGUUCGGGUGCUUGCUAUUUUUUCUCUAACGGAACAGUUCCCCGAAUUUUUCCAUGCCUUAAGGAUAACCUGCUUAGCUUCAUCAUUCUCGUUCAAUCUUCUAUCGUAACGGAAGAUUCCUUUGCGUCGCUUUGAGUCAGGUUCAAAGAAGGACAGAAGUGGUUUAUGGUCUGACCCUUCAUAAUCUAGGUAUUGGCAACGUGUUGUCGGGUAAUUCUCUGCCCAGUGACUAUUAGCCACCGCUCUGUCCAGCCAGCACCGGACAAGGUGGUCGCCUCUUUUACCUCUCCAUGAUAAUGGAUCUCCUGAAUGUCUAAGGUCAUAGAGGUCGCCUUCAGAAAAGAAAUUUCUGAGGUCUCCAAAGGAUUUUUCAGUUCUCGCUGGCCCCCCCACCUUUCUUCUUCGCUGAGCAGAUCGUUAAAAUCCCCUGUCACAAACCAGGGGGAGUCUCGGUGCGAGGCUAGCUGUAGCAUGUGUUCCCAUUGUAACAACCUUUGUUUCCUAUCACAAUCACCAUGUAUGAACGAAGCAAAGAAGGAUUUUCCUUGAUAUUCAAUAAAAGUAUCGAUCAAAUUUGCAUUUGAGUACAUGAUAUCAAUUUUGAUAUUUGAAUUCCAGAGUAGAGCAAGUCCUCCAGCACCAUAGCCUUUGGGCGGGAAUAGAUAGGUCGAUUCGUAGCCGAGCUGCUCCAGCUUCUUUUUUACAAAGUCAUCGGGAUUUUUGGUCUCCAUUAGAAAGAUGAUAUCCGGAUCAACCUGUCGUUUGAUCUCCCGGAGACGUCGAACUGUCGCGGGAUUCCCUAACCCUUGACAGUUCCAACUCCCUAUUGCUAAGGAGGCGGAUCUGCCGGGGUACGAAAACCCGACUUCUUCCACGACACUGGUGGGAUCAUGUUCCUUAGUGGCUGAUUGUCCGAGUUGGCGCUAUUUGUAUGCUCAGAGGAGUUCCGCGAUGCAUCCGAUCUUGCCUUGGAGAGCUUUUUGUCUCUAUUACUUUUGGAGGCAUCAGUAGCUAAUUUUCGUCUACUCAGUGGAGGCCUUGUGCUCGGAAUCCUUCUUUUUUUGGUGCUUGACCCCGGCAGCUGCUUAGGACUUGAGUUAAUUGUUUUCCUCCCCGGUGGUCUUCCCGGCUUUCUUUUAGCUUCAGGNNNNNNNNNNNNNNNNNNNNNNNNNNNNNNNNNNNNNNNNNNNNNNNNNNNNNNNNNNNNNNNNNNNNNNNNNNNNNNNNNNNNNNNNNNNNNNNNNNNNNNNNNNNNNNNNNNNNNNNNNNNNNNNNNNNNNNNNNNNNNNNNNNNNNNNNNNNNNNNNNNNNNNNNNNNNNNNNNNNNNNNNNNNNNNNNNNNNNNNNNNNNNNNNNNNNNNNNNNNNNNNNNNNNNNNNNNNNNNNNNNNNNNNNNNNNNNNNNNNNNNNNNNNNNNNNNNNNNNNNNNNNNNNNNNNNNNNNNNNNNNNNNNNNNNNNNNNNNNNNNNNNNNNNNNNNNNNNNNNNNNNNNNNNNNNNNNNNNNNNNNNNNNNNNNNNNNNNNNNNNNNNNNNNNNNNNNNNNNNNNNNNNNNNNNNNNNNNNNNNNNNNNNNNNNNNNNNNNNNNNNNNNNNNNNNNNNNNNNNNNNNNNNNNNNNNNNNNNNNNNNNNNNNNNNNNNNNNNNNNNNNNNNNNNNNNNNNNNNNNNNNNNNNNNNNNNNNNNNNNNNNNNNNNNNNNNNNNNNNNNNNNNNNNNNNNNNNNNNNNNNNNNNNNNNNNNNNNNNNNNNNNNNNNNNNNNNNNNNNNNNNNNNNNNNNNNNNNNNNNNNNNNNNNNNNNNNNNNNNNNNNNNNNNNNNNNNNNNNNNNNNNNNNNNNNNNNNNNNNNNNNNNNNNNNNNNNNNNNNNNNNNNNNNNNNNNNNNNNNNNNNNNNNNNNNNNNNNNNNNNNNNNNNNNNNNNNNNNNNNNNNNNNNNNNNNNNNNNNNNNNNNNNNNNNNNNNNNNNNNNNNNNNNNNNNNNNNNNNNNNNNNNNNNNNNNNNNNNNNNNNNNNNNNNNNNNNNNNNNNNNNNNNNNNNNNNNNNNNNNNNNNNNNNNNNNNNNNNNNNNNNNNNNNNNNNNNNNNNNNNNNNNNNNNNNNNNNNNNNNNNNNNNNNNNNNNNNNNNNNNNNNNNNNNNNNNNNNNNNNNNNNNNNNNNNNNNNNNNNNNNNNNNNNNNNNNNNNNNNNNNNNNNNNNNNNNNNNNNNNNNNNNNNNNNNNNNNNNNNNNNNNNNNNNNNNNNNNNNNNNNNNNNNNNNNNNNNNNNNNNNNNNNNNNNNNNNNNNNNNNNNNNNNNNNNNNNNNNNNNNNNNNNNNNNNNNNNNNNNNNNNNNNNNNNNNNNNNNNNNNNNNNNNNNNNNNNNNNNNNNNNNNNNNNNNNNNNNNNNNNNNNNNNNNNNNNNNNNNNNNNNNNNNNNNNNNNNNNNNNNNNNNNNNNNNNNNNNNNNNNNNNNNNNNNNNNNNNNNNNNNNNNNNNNNNNNNNNNNNNNNNNNNNNNNNNNNNNNNNNNNNNNNNNNNNNNNNNNNNNNNNNNNNNNNNNNNNNNNNNNNNAAAAAAAAAAAAGACGCGGUAUUUGGUUCAUUUGUCCUAUAUGUGCAAAUCAAAAUCGGGCAAAUUUUUCCUUUUACUCGGAGUAGAGCAUAAACCUAAAAAAACGGAAUAAAAAAAGGAAGAAGCCCAUUCAGGAACAAGAAAAAACCAUCCCCAUUUCAACUGAAUCUCGAUGAAAAAAAAAUAUCAAUGAAUCAAGUUAGUCUGACAGGCCUAAUCAAUCGUUUUAUUAUUUUAUUAUUAGGAUUAUAAUAUCUAAUAAAUAAAAGGGGCCAAAACUUAUUUAUUUUUUCUUUUACUUUUAAAAGGGAAGCAAGCCCUUCCCUUAUUAAGUUAGAAAGAAAAGCCUUCUCUGAAAAAAAAGGGGGGGUUGGAAUCGACACAUUGAUUUUUUAACAAUUUUUGUUGAACCGUAUGCAUCAAAAGGUGCCUGUACGGCUCCUAAGGAAUAAAAUUUUAUCCUAAUCAACCGACUUUAUCGAGAAAGAUUGUUUUUUUUAGGCCAAGAGGUUGAUACCGAAAUCUCGAAUCAACUUAUUAGUCUUAUGAUAUAUCUCAGUAUAGAAAAGGAUACCAAAGAUCUUUAUUUGUUUAUAAACUCUCCUGGUGGAUGGGUAAUAUCUGGAAUGGCUAUUUAUGAUACUAUGCAAUUUGUGCGACCCGAUGUACAGACAAUAUGCAUGGGAUUGGCCGCUUCAAUAGCAUCCUUUAUCCUAGUCGGAGGAGAAAUUACCAAACGUAUAGCAUUCCCUCACGCUUGGCGCCAAUGAGUUUUUUUAUUUUAGAGAAAAAAUACUAUGCCUUCGCCCUCGGAAAUAUGAAUUAGUUAAGUAAUAAUAGCAUGGCACUUCGAAUUCGAUAUGAAAUUUUUUAGAUUAAAAAAAUUAGAUUAUAUAUUGAAAGAGUAGUAUGGGAUAAGAAAGGGGUAUUUAAAAUGAUAUCUUCCCUAUUCGGGCACAUCCCAGCGUCACAAACUUUGUUUUCACACCGGAAGCUUAUUUACAAAAACAAAAAAAAAGACACUUUGGGAUUGCUGAAUCAUAGACGGAUCAAAAAAAAUGAUAUAUAAAGCAACGGAACCAUCAUAGUAUUUUUUUAACUCCUACAAAACAAAAAAGAAGGAUGGUAAUUGGAUCAUUUAUGGAUCCGCGUAUAAUAGAACCUAUAUUUUGUUUUCUUUCGCCGAAAGGAAAGGUCAAAAACGUAAAUUCCAUUCUAGAGCCGUAUGCAACGCACAAAAAAAGCCUGUACGGUUAUUCAAAUUUCUCUGUUUUUUUGGUUAUCUCGCCUCAUUCUGCGAAAUAGAAAAAGCUUUUCUAUUAUAUCAUCAGGGUAAUGAUCCAUCAACCCGCUAGUUCGUUUUAUGAGGCACAAACGGGAGAAGUUAUCUUGGAAGCGGAAGAACUACUAAAACUUCGCGAAACCAUCACAAGGGUUUAUGUACAAAGAACGGGCAAACCUAUAUGGGUUGUAUCCGAAGACAUGGAAAGGGAUGUUUUUAUGUCAGCAACAGAAGCCCAAGCUCAUGGCAUUGUUGAUCUUGUAGCGGUUCAAUAAAAAUAGGAGCGAUUUCAUGCAAAUCUACCACUGCUAAUUUUAUAUCUUUUUAGAUUAAAGGUUUAGUUUCAUAUUCUCUUCAAUAUAUUUUUUUUAUAUUGAAGAGAAUCUUGAAGAGAAGUAAUUCAGAAUUAGCCGGUUAGAACCCAUCUAAACCAGCCCAUUAUUUAUAUGAUUCCGUAUGCCAACCAUUAAACAACUUAUUAGAAAUACAAGACAGCCAAUCCGAAAUGUCACAAAAUCCCCAGCGCUUCGGGGAUGCCCUCAGCGACGAGGAACAUGUACUCGGGUGUAUGUGCGACUCGUUUAGAUCAUAGACUGAAACACAAAAAGGAAAUUCUUUUUGAAAUAUCAAGGAUCAGUACCUGUUAAUAAAAUAGAAUGGAGGAACUCGAUUCAUUAUUUCAAAAAGAUAGAUCAUUCAUAUCUUCUAUUGUGUCUGAAACUUAUGGUUUACAUUGGUGCAAAUCCAAUCAACUCCAUUUUUUAGAAAACCCCCAAUGAUAACAAAUGGUUAUCAAUUAAGCGGGGGAAAUCCCAUUUUUUAUUAAAAAGAUUCCACUCUUGAAAGAAAAAACGGACUAACAGGGUAAAUGACCAAAUCAAUUUUAAAAUAAAAUACCGUUACUGUAUAAAGUGGAUCUCAUUGUGAAAGAUCUAUUACUGGAAUAUUAAUGGGGUAGAGCCAAAGAAUGUGAAUUGUACAAGUUACCAAUAGUAUUGAUUAAUUAAAAGAAGGAGCUCCGGUGUAUAGAGAGGACCUCACCGUUUUAGAAGUAACCAUAGAAACGAAGGAACCCACUAUUUAUCCAUUUCUAUUUACUACUUUUUGUAGUUAUUCUAUUUUUUUUAUAUCAAGUACCAAGGCAAUUUAUCCUUUCAAAGCAAAGGAAAAUACCUAGCCAAAAAUAGUGGUGGGGAAGGUUAGAGUAGCAAAAGCCAUUGGAAUUUUUUUUUAUACAUUGGAAUAAUUCGUUUGGUUAUUAAUGACUAGUAAAGGGGAAAAGAAUAACUAAAACUAAAAAAAGAAUUAGUUAUUCAUCAAAGUUUGAUUUAUUCAAUGACUAGAAUUAAACGCGGAUAUAUAGCUCGGAGGCGUAGAACAAAACUUCGUUUAUUUGCAUCAAGCUUUCAAGGGGCUCAUUCACGACUUACACGAACUAUGACUCAACAGAGAAUAAGAGCUUUAGUUUCGGCUCGUCGGGAUAGGGGUAAAAGAAAAAGAGAUUUUCGUCGUUUAUGGAUCACUCGAAUAAAUGCCGUAAUUCACGAAACGGAGGUAUUCUAUAGUUAUAACCGAUUCAUACACAAUCUGUACAAGAAGCAAUUACUUCUUAAUCGAAAAAUACUUGCACAAAUAGCUCUAUUAAAUAGGAGUUGUCUUUAUACGAUUUCAAAUGAGAUCAAAAAAUGAGGGGAUUGGAAGAAAUCCACUAAAAUAUUUGAAAUAGAGUUCUUAAGUAGAAUAAGCUCGGGGAGGGUAGAGUAGAAAUUAGUAUUAUAAAAAAAGUCGUCAAAACAAAACGAGGGUAUAUAUAGUCGCUAAAAAAAGACUUAUUCUUUUUCUUUUCGACGAUUCUUUUCUUUUUUUUUUUUUUUUUUUUGCGAAAUCCACCUCAAUAUUUUAUAAAUUUCUGCCGAGUGCUAAUGAUAACAUUUGUGUUGAAAAUUUGUUCUUAAAAUUCAGAAAUCAAUUUUCUAUUAAUCAAAAAGUUCGGAUAUGGCCAAAAAGGAGAAGAAUGAUACGCGUUACAAAAUAAGUAAAGGAUUAUACAAAAAGUGGCAACAAAUUUUCUACAAAGAGGAAACAAGAGAUUACGCCGUGAAAUAUGCUUUAACGUAUAUAAAAAAUCCACAUGCAAACCAACACCACCUCGUCGAAGGCCACGUCUCUUCAUCUGACGGCUGCAGUUACAUCAUCAUUGAAAAAGCAGUCAAAACUAUAUAAAAAGAAAAUAAUCUUUUAAAAAAAUAGUCACACAAAUUCAUCCAUAAAUCACCAUUGUUAACCUUUUUUUCUCCUUCCUUUCAUCUUUCUAAAAAAUUCAUUUUUACAACCAAAAACUAAAGUUCAAGAAAACACAGAAUAAAGGAAUAAUCUCUUCGUGUGUGCGUGUAUAUAAAAAGAUAUACAUAUGCGUGGGUAUGAUUCUUGGGAUGAUCGACAUGCAACGAUGAAAUCAUCAUCCAUUUUCCGAGAAAGUUCAGACAAAACAGAGAGAUGGAUUGUAACAAACAUGGCAAGAUUAUCACCAUUUCUCUUGUCUUCUCUUUGUAUAACUAUCUUCUUCACAGGCUUCUUCGUCUUCCAUCAGAAUCCUUUCAUCUCGGAUCAAAACUUUCUCACCCUGCACCCUCUAAUCGGUAAGGUAUAACCAAUGAUAAUAUAAAACAUUUUCAAACAAAAAUCUUGUAUAUAGUAUAUAUAUACGUACAUAUAUGGUUUUAUGUUGAUUAAUAUGAUGAUUGUGGAUUAUUUGUACCCUUACAAACGUGUAUGAUUUUAUGUUGAACUAGUUCAUGUGUUUUGCUUUUGUCUGAAACCUCUCAGCUUUGUAAUGAUUCACUUUUUGUUUGUUCUUUUGAUAUUGUCUCAGAAUUUUGUAGAUUUGUUUUUUUUUUAAAUUUAAAUUUUUAUUGAUUUGUUUUAUCUUUUGUUGUUGUUGUGGUUUGGUUAGAUCCUAAAUGUGAUUUGUUCAAGGGACAUUGGGUUCCAGACAAAAGAGGAUCUCUGUACACAAACUCAAGCUGUUCUACGCUUCCUGACUCCAAGAACUGCAUAAAACAUGGGAGAUUAGACAGAGAUUUCUUGUUUUGGAGAUGGAAACCUGAUGGCUGCGACCUUCCUAGGUUUAGUCCCAAGGAGUUUCUUAGAAUGGUUCGAGGCAAGAAGAUGAGUUUUAUUGGUGAUUCUGUAGCAAGGAACCACAUGGAAUCUCUUCUUUGCUUGUUGUCAAUGGUGAACUUUAAAUCUUUUUCUAAGGAGAUGUAUCUUGCUUUGCUUACAAGAAAGUUGAAUAAUAGUGUUUGCUUGUGCAGGAAGAAACUCCUAAGGAUAUCUACAAAGAUGGAGAAGACAGAAACAGGAUAUGGUACUUUCCUAACCAUGAUUUCACACUCUCUACCUCUUGGACUAAGUUUCUCGUGGAGGAACAUGAGAGGGUAGACGGUAACAAGACCGGAACUGGAUUGUUUGAUAUAGAUAUUAGCAAGAUGGAUGAAGGAUGGUUCAAGGGUCUGCCAAAUACAGACAUUGCUAUUGUCUCGGCUGCUCACUGGUUCUUCAGACCAAUAUUCAUACACAGAGGAGAUGAAACCCUAGGUUGCAUCUAUUGUAACGUACCAAACAUGACACAGCUUAGUCCUGACCAAGGGUUUAAGCUUGUUUACUCAUCUGUCUUUAAACACAUCAAUGAAUGUGAUAACUGCAAGAGAGAUUUAGUUACAGUCAUGAGGACUAUCUCACCUGCCCAUUUCGAGAACGGGACUUGGGAUACAGGAGGAUCAUGCAGAAGGACAAGCCCUUUUGGUGUUAACCAGAUCGAUCUGCAGAGCAACGAGAUGAAGAUCAGGACAUCUCAGAUUGAACAGCUUGAAGUUAUAACGAAAGGCGACCACAAGGGGAAGAAGAAGUUUGGUGUUUUGGAUGUGACUAGGGUUAUGCUGAUGAGACCUGACGGCCAUCCGAAUAGUCACUGGGGAAACAAAUGGAUGAAAGGUUACAAUGAUUGCGUCCACUGGUGCUUGCCUGGGCCUAUUGAUGCGUGGAACGAUUUUUUAAUGGCGAUACUUAGACAGUUAAGAUGAUUAUUCAUGGAUAAACAAACAAACAAAAAGUUAAAACAUUCUUUCACAUUUCUUAUGAAUAAGUACCUUCAGUCAUCUGAUUUUUUUUGCUUCUGCUUCUAGAUAUCUCUGUUGUUACAUAGAGUUUACACAAUACUCAAUACCAGUAUUCUAAAGAUCUGCGUAGUCGGCAAAUCGGAUCUAAACAAUUUUUGUAAACAGGUUUUUUUUAAAAAAAUUGGUCUAGUGUUUAAACAAUAAUCUUCUAUAAGGCAUCCAACCGCCACCACCUAGGAAUUUAUUGAACAUUGCCUCAAUACAACACACAUCACUUUCAUUUACCUCAUAUAUACAUACUUGCCCCAGACCUUCUGCAUAGAGUAAUGAUUCACGCUGAUAAGCAGUUGAAUCCUGCAAGACAUGAGCAGCGAAACAGCUUCGAGCAAACCAUAUUGGUGCAACAAACACAAAAGCAUAAUCUCUCAGAUUAAUAAAUAAUAACGAGCUUUAACUCCAAUCUGCAGAGAACAUUUCAAGCACAUGGGAGAAGCUCUGCAGAACAAGAAAGAUCAAAUCUUUUACAGAAAACAACUCGAAACAGACACAAAACAGCUAAGUUCUUAAGCAAAGUACAUAGCUUUCUGCACUGUUCCAUCAAAUUACAUAAAACCCAAUAAGCUAAAAAGAAAAAGACACAAAGUGAUAAUAAUAAUCAAGACUACUCCAAGUUGUUACCAAGAGCGAAAGAGAAGACUUCACGAACAGGAGAGAACUCAACGACCCCAACAUCCAUCGCGUAGCCACUCACGGGCAUCUUCAAGUCCCUCAAAACGGAGAAAGCCUCAGCCAUGCGAGCCCUCGGCACAUCGACCGCCACGGGGCAGAACGGGACCCACGAGUCCUGGCGAAACUCCUCGCCGAUGUCGAAGCCUUCCUUCUUGACGGCGUCGAGAAGCUGAGCGUGGAGGUGGAGGAGGGAGAGGGAGGGGGUGGGGGAGAGGAAGAGGGCGUUGUUGUCGCCGGAGAAGCUACCGAGGGAGGAGAAGGAGAGAGGGAGGGGCUCCUGCUUGGAGGCGAAGGCUUUGAGGAUGGGCUCGAGCUUGGAGGAGUCGAGGAAGGAGGAGGAGAGGAGGGUGAGGUGGGGGCGGGACUCGGUGGUGAUGAGCUUGGUGCUGAUCUGGCGGCGGGCGAAGACGUUCCAGGCUUACAGGACUUGGUUCUCCAGCGCUGGGUCGAAGUAGAGCUCGAUCGCGUACCCUUCUGACAUUAGAUCUGGGAGAGAGAGAGCGAUUGAGAUUUGGGAGUGGUGGAGAAAGGUGGAAGCUUGACAGCGAGAAGACAAAGGGGAAAGGGGAAAGCUUCUUUUAAUUGGUCUGUGGAUCGAAUGAGGAAGAAGAUUGUUUUCUCAUAGGUGAAGGUGAUGAGUACGUGAAUUACUCAGAAAUUAGUUAGAGAUCUAAUGUGAAACAAAAUAAAAGUAGGAGGAGCAAAAAGCAAUAUCUGAAUAGUACGCCAAUUAUUUAGAAAUUAAGUAGAGAUUUAAUGUAAAAUGAAUUAAGAAAAAAUACCCAACAUAACAUAUACUAAUUUUUAGCAAACAAAAUAAAUAAUAAUUUAAAUAAAUAAAUGAAAAGAAAAGAAAUUUAACUAGCAAUAAUCUAUGAUCUUUUCAAUUGUUGACCGGAACCUGUAGUAAUGAUGAGUUAAUUAUAUGUUUUCUUGUAGUGAUGAGACUAUCAUGUUGAUUCUGAUCAUAUUUGUUCUUGUGAUUCUGAUCAUAUUUGUUCUUGUGAUAGUAACCAAGAACAAAUGAUGGGUUAUGUAUAGGUCUCUCUUUGUUCUUGUUCUCUGUGUUCGAUGCCUUUUUUUUUUUUUGAACACUACUUUCAUUAACUUCAAACGAAAAGAGUUAGGUAGGGGCAAUAACACCCUCAACCAUACAAAGUGCUUCCUUUGAUAAGGAAUCAGCAACAAGAUUUUUAUCUCUAGGGAUCCAAGAAAACAAGAUCGAAACGUCGGGGAGUCCGCUCAGGUGGAGAAUGUCCGAGAGAAUCCCAUGCACCUCCGCGAUGCAUUCCUUUUGGUUUAUUGCUUUUAUCAGCUGUGCUGAAUCAGACUCUAGGAGAAUGUCGUUCAAACUAUGCUCUCUGCAGAACAACAGAGCUUCCCGAAUGGGUAGUCCUUCUGCAACGAGGGGUGAAGAUACGUGCCCGUGGGGUUUCUUCCUUCUAAUUUCAAACCUCUCUGUCUUCACUGUCCAGCCGAGCCCGGCUUUCUUAUCUUCCUUCCUCCAGGCUGCAUCAGAGCGAACGAAGGUAGCAGCGGUGCACGCUUCAGUCGCCGAUGGCGUUGCCUGAGUAGGAGUGACCUUCUCUACUUUUUGUCCUUGUUCCCAUUCCUUUGCCGCUCGAAUAGCGGUAGCUAGUGUGUCCUCUGGUGAUGCAGAAGCACCGUUGAAGACGAAUCUGUUCCUUUGAAACUUAAAUUUGGUCGUCGUCUUUCUUUUUAUUAGAAAAGGAGCUUCCUCUGAAAGAGACAACAUUAGUUGAGUCUUCUCUUCUUUUGCUGCUCAAAGAAGCAGACAAAAAUUACAUUCUCACAAACAUAAAACUCAAUUUAUAUAAAAAACAUAUGAGAGGAUAUCAACCCUAAACAAAUGACCUUGCGUUGACUUCAUCUUGUUAGAACUGAGCUGUGGCUAGGCUCUUCUUUACAAAUAGUGCAAUGUCUUUUUUCACUUUUUGUUAUUCAACCAUCUGUUAUUGCGUAUGCACCUUCUACUAAUUUUAAGAGCUAUCUAUGUGAAACCGUCCACUACUCGACAACAGCUAAACAUCACAUUUUAAGAAAUUUGAUGUAGAACAAUAUUUCUACUAAUUUCAAGAAAUUCGAUAUUAUCUUUUUCAAGUUAUAUACAAGUAAUAUAGUAAUAGAAUGUCCAGAUCCAAUAAAACUGUAAAUAAUACUACGCAUUAACACAUUCAAAAGUAUGUAGUUUAUUUCUCUUUGGUUCUAAAUUAAUUUGGUCGUCGUUGUGGUUCAACAGAAGAGGGCUAUUCUCUUUUUCUGUAAGUAACAAUAACCGAGUCUUCUCUUCGUUUGCUUUCCCCCACAUCACAGCGUAAAAACCUAUCGUUAUCAAAACUCCUCCAAUCAAACUGCAUACAUAAGCAAAAAAUAGAAACGAUUAGACUUUCAAAUUACAAAUAAGUGAAUUGAUACUAUUUGCGCAUAUACCAUCCGAGAUAUAGAGAAUCUCCGAGAAAAAUUGCGCUCAUAAUCACCGCUAUUAAAAUCGACAAUGGCUUAAAUAUGGCCAAGUAAAGAGGUCCUUUGUAACGCACUGUCCAUGAAUGAAUUACGUAGUAUACUGGAGUGAAUAUUCCCUGACAUGUUUACAAACUCAAUUUUAAGAUCAAAACGGAGGAAGUUUGGUUUUAACUUUUAAAACUCAAUAUAGAGCGUACGUACCAUAGCUAGAAUGCAUAUCAAAGUAAUAUCAAAUCGAAUGAUCCAAACGCUUGGAUUGCUCCUCUCGACUACGAGUCCAGUCAAGGAGGUGAUGAUUGAAACGAACAGAGUAUAGAAAAAUGAUACUGUAAAUGCUGCUGGAUAUUCAGACAUUAUAUGUGCCUGCCCAAAAUCAGCGUAUAUAAACUUAUUUUUCAAAGUAGAAACCGAUCAUUAGUUGAUAUAGGUUUCAUAGUUCUAUUGACUAUAUAUGUUUUUUUUUUUUUUUUUGAUCAAAUACUAUAUAUGUUUUCUUUUUUGAGAAAAUGACUAUAUAUGUUUAAGUAUGCAUUUCUUGUUAAGGAGUCACCGGUAAUCAAGACUAGUAUACAACAUUUUCCUCUUUUUCUUAUAAUUUGCACAUAAAGUUGUAAAUCAGUAUCAUUAGAACUUUACACCAAAACCAUCUAGGCGAAUAUUUACUCACAUGCCGGGUCCAGAACACAAGCGGACAAAUCAAAGAUUAGGAGCACCAUGUUUUUUCUUGGAAGGCCACAAUUUUUAUACUAGUUGUUAUAUAAUUGAUGACUAUCUAAUUUUUGUAUUUCAAAACUGAGUGGUUGUUUAGAAAUUUUAGAGAUUUUUUAGAACUAACAAUGAAAGUGUCAUAAAUUGUUUUCUUGAUUCAGACCACUAUUUCCAUUGGACUGGUCAUGAUUGACCAGAAACCCAAAUAAAAACUAUUAUGUAUGAGAAUCGAAAAUGAUACCUACCUGUAGUAUGAAAGAAACAGAAACGAAGAUGUCUCUAAUGGUGAGAAGACAUCCACCAAUGAUCCAAUUAGAGUUUGAAGAUGAUAGUGAUGGAGAAAGCUGGUGGAAGUUUAGAUUCGGCGCUGAUAAUACAAUGAAGACGCGUGGGCCGUGAUAGAGAACCACCACAAGUGCGCCUACUAAUGAUAAUAUCGUCCCCAUCACUUUAGCUACACUGCUCCCUUCUUUGAAUCUUACUUUCUCCAUUCUUUUUCACAAAUUAAAAAUGACUAUGUUAUGUUUUAUUCCAAUAAAUUUGAAACCAUAUAGCAUAUUUUUUGUCAAAAUGCCAAAAAAAAAACAAAAACAAAAAUCUGGCAGCCAAAUAGACUGAUAAAUAUGCAUCUUGUCAAAUAAUGCAAAAGCAGCAGUCUUAUCAGGUACCAGCCUUAGUAGUGUGUUAUUCACAAACUGUGAUUGUAAUUGUGCGUGAGACAGUGAUAUAUAAACUUAUCUUAUCAUUUACCGAAAGAAUAUACUUAUACACUAAUUAUUCCUUUAACACACCCAAAUAAUACGCAUUCUCUGUUAAAAAUUUACAAAAAUUCGUUGACCAAAAACUAGUGCCUAAUUAAAAAUAAUUCAAUCACCAAUAAACAAAAUGCAUAAUACAACAGUAACGAAAUAGAAAUAGAUUUUACUUUUGUAGCUGAGAUAGUGGUGGGGGUUGCAUAAAGCUUGAUAGUUGUCACAAGGAAUUAACUAACUUGGAAAACUUGGUUAGGGAAGUAUAUUAAUAGUGAAGUAAGCUAACCAACAUGAUCUGACUUUAAGAACCUAAACCAACUUGGACUCAUUAACAAGACUGAUGAAAGAUGUGUACUUUUUAUAUAAAAAAUAACCAUAAAUCGACUGCUAAACUCAAUGAUUAGUGGAAAAGAAUAACCUGAAGAUAACGGCUAGGAUGAAGGUAAGAGCAGGAGUGAUAUUGCUAAUCGCGGAAGCUAGGGUUGGGUUGCUGUAUUUAACGCCUAUGUAGCUUGUGAUCACAUACGUUGAUCUGUUCUUUUUUUGGGGUAUUAUUUGUUUUAAUCAACAACAAAGAUAAGCAAAACAUAUCUUUAUAUUAGAAGUGAAGAUAGUUAUAUAUUCAAAAUCAGAAAGAAGAAUUAUGUAGUUGGAUUUACCCUACUAGUCCAAGAAGUCCUAUCUUACAAAGUAUUGAGAAACUUAGUGGAGGAAGUGAUCUUGACCUGUUUUAAAAAACAUUCAAUAUUAAAUGGAAAAGAAAUGAUUACCAAUUGUCAAAAAGAUUUAAAGUGAUUAGAAACCUGUUGGAGAAGAGAUGAGAAGGAAGAAGGAGAAGAGAAGCAAGAAGAUAAGAAUAGCCAAGGAAAGUGUAAGAGUUGAGUCCCUUUGAAGUCGCUGCUUUGAACAGUGUAUUCAGACCAACAAUACCGGUUUCCGACGCAAGCAUUGCCGUCAAGAACGUUGCCUCUCUCCGCCAGAGACUUACGGCUCCCGCCAUUGUUGGAAAUGAUAGAGAUGUUGGUCUUGUUGAAUGAGAGUCUGUUAUUUAUUAUCCCUUUGUUGUUUUUUUCUUUCUUUAUAUGCCAUGAAUAAGAAAAGGAAAUGACGUUUGGUGGUCCAGGGUUGACAUUAAGGCUUCGAAUGUUACGAACUGCUCCUCCCCGCACUGCAGUUAACAGUAACAAAAAUCUCUACAUAUAUCAUAUAUCUAUACGUUCUUAUAACUGUUAAAACCGCACCGCAGUUAAACCGCUUGUCCCGCACCGCUCAAACCGCAGUUACCAUUCGAAGCCUAAAUAUUAUUUCCUGAAGUGAAUAUUUGGAAGGACAACGAAUACGGGAGUCUAAAACAUUUAUUCCAUAUUCAAGGUAAGUUGAAGAAAAACUCAUCUCCCAAACCUGCCUACAAGAUUGCAUUGUACAUUUUAAAUUUAAAUAUAACAAUUGUGAAAAUUUCAAUAAAAUAGCAUUGUCCGAUUUUAUGGUAGCUGGCUUCUUAAAACAUGAAAAAAAAAUGUCACAUAAACUAAUACACUAUAAGAUUGCUUUUGAAUAUUUGUAUACAAUUUGAGAAAUAAAGCUGAUGUUUAUGGGCAAACCGAAGUAGUUGCAGUGAAGAACUUACUUCUAAAAAUCAAAAGCAGUGUCACUAAAACAACCCAAAGAUUUUCAGACUUAUCAAAGUACAUAUAAGGCUCCGAUCGUCGUUUUGAACAAUAUCAGACGGGUCUUUUUCUUAGUUUUCCCUAAAAACAAAAGAAGAAGAUAAGAUAAUAUUCUUGUUUUUCUAUACGCAUAUUAGGUAAAAACAACAUUUUGGUUUUGUAAUGAUCCAUUUUUCUUGUAAUGAUCCCACUCCAAAAAUUGUCCAUACUAGAAGAUAUUAUGAAUCGAUAAGGGAAAUACACGCUUAGAUGCUAGGCUCAUAAGACCGUGGCAAUUACAUUAUAAACCGCCAAAACAAUUACAAUAUUAUGAUAAUAAUAUUAUAUAGUUUAUUAUUCAUGAAUUAUAUACUUUAGCUGUUUCAUAAUAAGUGUCAUUCUAACAUUUUUUUUUUGUCACAUAAAAAGUGUCACUUUAUAAUUUCUAUGUAAAUUAUAUUUACUUUCAACUGAAAAUUAAUUGUAAAUUGUAUUGAUUUUAUAAGUUUAUCUCAGAUACUAUUGAUCAAAUAUGUGUAAUUAAUACCAAUUUAAAUAUACAUUUCAAUCAAUUUCUUAAUUUGUAUGAAAAAUGUUAAAAUGACACUUAUUAAGAAACAGAAAGAGUAAUAAAUAAUCCUAAAUAUUAUUUCCUGAAGUGAAUAUUUGGAAGGACAACGAAUACGGGAGUCUAAAACAUUUAUUCCAUAUUCAAGGUAAGUUGAAGAAAAACUCAUCUCCCAAACCUGCCUACAAGAUUGCAUUGUACAUUUUAAAUUUAAAUAUAACAAUUGUGAAAAUUUCAAUAAAAUAGCAUUGUCCGAUUUUAUGGUAGCUGGCUUCUUAAAACAUGAAAAAAAAAUGUCACAUAAACUAAUACACUAUAAGAUUGCUUUUGAAUAUUUGUAUACAAUUUGAGAAAUAAAGCUGAUGUUUAUGGGCAAACCGAAGUAGUUGCAGUGAAGAACUUACUUCUAAAAAUCAAAAGCAGUGUCACUAAAACAACCCAAAGAUUUUCAGACUUAUCAAAGUACAUAUAAGGCUCCGAUCGUCGUUUUGAACAAUAUCAGACGGGUCUUUUUCUUAGUUUUCCCUAAAAACAAAAGAAGAAGAUAAGAUAAUAUUCUUGUUUUUCUAUACGCAUAUUAGGUAAAAACAACAUUUUGGUUUUGUAAUGAUCCAUUUUUCUUGUAAUGAUCCCACUCCAAAAAUUGUCCAUACUAGAAGAUAUUAUGAAUCGAUAAGGGAAAUACACGCUUAGAUGCUAGGCUCAUAAGACCGUGGCAAUUACAUUAUAAACCGCCAAAACAAUUACAAUAUUAUGAUAAUAAUAUUAUAUAGUUUAUUAUUCAUGAAUUAUAUACUUUAGCUGUUUCAUAAUAAGUGUCAUUCUAACAUUUUUUUUUUGUCACAUAAAAAGUGUCACUUUAUAAUUUCUAUGUAAAUUAUAUUUACUUUCAACUGAAAAUUAAUUGUAAAUUGUAUUGAUUUUAUAAGUUUAUCUCAGAUACUAUUGAUCAAAUAUGUGUAAUUAAUACCAAUUUAAAUAUACAUUUCAAUCAAUUUCUUAAUUUGUAUGAAAAAUGUUAAAAUGACACUUAUUAAGAAACAGAAAGAGUAAUAAAUAAUAUAUUAUAAUGUAGAAUCUUACGAAGGUAAUGCAAUAUAAAUUUUAUCAAUUGUGAUUAACGAUAUUUAAUAUAAAAUAUCACAUAUAUUUAAUAUAGUAUUAUAAUUUAUAAACGCAUAAACCGUCUAACUAAUAAUCUAGGCGUCACUUAGUUGUUCUAGUCGCUAGCUGCUGAGUCAUCGCCCACUUAGAGCCUAUCGCUUUCUUCAACACAAUGGAUCAUAGCCACAAUUUAUAUGAAUGUUAUCCUAAUUUUAAUACAAACGCACGCGAAUAACUGGAGUCGAAGCGUGAGAGUUACGUGCAAGUAUUUAUUAGACAACAUACCCUCAAAGGAACCUCAUGGAUCCAUUAUACCGGAAAAUAGAAAACUACCGAACAAAAUAAUUGAUUCAUUGGCCCUAGUCACUAACGCAUCCUGAAAUCCUGUUUUUCCUUUUCUGUUUUCAAAUGUUGUACAGUCUGAUAAAAACCCAACGUAGUUUGCUUUGAAAUCUAGAGACACUUCUACUAGUUGAACUAAAAAACAAUUAGAUACUUGCAAUUCUACUUAAUGUCGCUUGCGUUUUAUAUAUAUAAACCGACCCCAUGAUACUAAUUGAUUUUACAGUUGGUCCUCGUUCCGCCAGUAGAUUGUUCCGGACUCAGGACCAGUGGAUGAAGCUAAACCGCAAAAACCGUGCAUCUGAAUACAUGAAUUAUAGACACCUGAAACCCUGAAAAUGAAACUGUUGCUGAACAAACACGAGAUGUUACUACACUUGUUUCUCAGCCGCGUAAUUCAUCAAAAGUGGAACUCUCUUGGAAUGUGACGAUGAAGCAGCAUGAUGAGUAUCGAUCUCGGACUUCUCUUCCUUUGCUUUUCCCCACAUGACAGUGUAAAAACCUAUUGAUAUCAAUGUUCCACCAAUCACACUGCCAACACACAAUUUUAAGAACUGAAAGUGAAUAUAUAGGAGAUAAAACAAUACUAAUUAGAUCAUUCAUCUUUUCAAAAAAUUUCACCUUCCCAGAUAGAGGGAGUCGCCAAGAAAAAUCGCGCCUAAUACAACCGCUGUUAAUAUAGCUAACGGCCUGAACAUUGCUAGGAACAAUGGUCCCUUAUGUCGCACCGUCCACGACUCCACAACAUAGCCCGUCGAGUUUACCAUUCCCUAAAUAUAACAUUUCAAGAAAUCAAAAGCUUAUAAGCUAAUUAGUAAACAUUUAGUUUUACGAAUCGAUUAAAACUAUGGAAACGUGUUCUGACCGUUGCAACGAUGCAUAUCAACAUUAUACUCGAUCUCAUAAUCCAUGCGCUUGGAUUGUUUGUCUCUACGAAAAGACUAACAAACGCACAAGAGACUGAAACGCAAAUAUUGUGGGAAAGUGCCAAGGCAAACUCCGAUGCAUAUUCCCUCAUAAUAUGCGUCUACAACCACCAAAAAUGUAAUGAAAAAGUUAACAUUAGCUUAAGUUAUAAUAUAAUAGACGUUUAUUCUAUAUGCACCUGUAUGAUGUACGAGAUGGCGAUGAGAGUGUAUUCAAGGGCUAGGAGACAUCCGCCGAUGACCCAAUUUGAAUUUAACGGUCGGGAUGGAGGCGGCGAGAGAGGCUGAGGAAGAUGAACGGACGGCUGAGAUGCGGCGAAGAUGAUGGGGCCAUGGUAGAGAGUGACCACAAGUGCACCUACUAUCGAAACUAUUGUGCCCACUACUUUGGCUAUGCUGCUAUUUUUCUUUAUAGACACCUUCUCCAUGCUUAUAAUACAAGAAAAGUAGUCAUCCAAAGAUUUUCUUUUACAGCGAAUAACAAAACGUAUAAAAAACAAAAUCUAACUAAACAAGAUUGUGUUACAAAAAAAAAACUAAAAGUCUAAAACACGAUUAAAACGAAAUUGGUCUUAUCCAAUGUACCGAUCAAAGAAAUUAUAAAAUAUACUUAUCUUGUAAAAAUAUAUUUAAUCAUAUUCAAUAUACAUCAACAGAACAUACAUUUACAUUUUGAAUUUUACUUUUUAAUUACCAAAACCGGCCAUUAAAUUACUAAACAACAAAAGAGAGAUUCAUUUGGGUCAUAAAUUUAUCAAACUGUAUAUAACAAUGGACCGAAUUUUACUAACCGAACUAAAUAAAGAACGUCCAGGUUUUGAACCAAUAACCGAAUUUUAAAUGAGACAAUGUGUGGAAUAUUCCCAAUUAAGGUCUAAAUUUGCUGAAUGCCCAUAAUUAUGAAUAACCUAAAAGUGAGUAACUUUUUGACACUGUGCGGAUAAAAAUGCCCUUAUGCUUUGUCGAAAACAAGUAACUCUAGAUCUAUCAGCUAAAUAUUUACAUAGCAGAUAACAAUCUAUAUACCAACUAACAUAUCCGCUAAUAAUUUCAGUAUCAUCUAACAAUCUAUGUAUCAAACAAAUGUAUCGACUAACAAAUCAUAUAUCAGUUAAUGAAACUAUUAACAAUUAAUUAGUUAUCUAUUAAAUAGCUCUAAAUCUAUUUGUAACAACUAACACUUUAUGUAUCGAUUAAAAAUCCAUUAAAAUCUAAAUAAUAGCAGGUAAGUAAUAAAAUACCUACUAACGUAUAUAUUACUCCCUCCGUUUUUUAAUAUAAGUCGUUUUAGAGAAACUUUUUUGUUCCAAAUUAUAUGUCGUUUUCGGUUUUUUAUGUAACAUUUAUUAGUAAUUAAUGUUGUCUGACCAAUGAUAAUAUAUCUUCUAUUUUUCUAUUGGUUAAAUUGUGGUUACGUAAAUAAUUAAUGAUGUUUUUGUUUCGAAAAUAUAAGAAAUUAAUGAUUUUUUUAAUCUAUGUGCAUAGCUUCAAAACGACUUAUAAUAAAAAACGGAGGGAGUAUCUAAAAGUUAAUUGUGAUUCGAAAUUGGAAACAUUGAAAUUGGGGUGAGAUAAUAAGAUUAACAUUAUGGGUGUCAAAAGAAUAAGAAUAAAAAAAUAAAGAUUUGUGUUGAAUUAGAAGAUGAUUUGAAGAAGUUGUACGAGAGAUAAAGAUAUUAGAACACAUAAAAGGAGAGAGAGAUAGAAAUAAGAGUAUUAUAAUCACUAAAAAUAUUAAAAUGAAACAAAGUUAUAUGGCAAAUUACAUGAGUUUUUGGGUGUAUACGCCAAUUACUCAUUUUAAAUCAAUAAAAUAAACCUAACUGAAUCCGAAUUUGUAUGCACUAUGUAGGCUAGUCUGGUAAGUUAAUUCGAUUCGGUUAAGUAACCGGAUAAGAACUGAAAAUAGUCAAAAUAAAAUUUGAUACUGCUAGGGGUUUGCAGAAAGAUAAAGUACCCGAAGAGAAGAGCGAAGAUGAAGGUGAAAGCAGGAGUAAGAUUACUCAUAGCUGAAGCCAAAGUAGGAGAGCUAUAUUUGAUUCCUGUGUAACCUAACAUCAAAUACACACAUCUUCUCUCAUUCCAAAGAAGAGUCACGUCACCAAUCAUCAUUUUCAAUUAGUAAUAAAACACACACAAAAUCUUGAUCGAGUAAAGAAGAUGAAGGCAUAGAAGAAGAGGUCUUACCCAAGUAAACCAAGAAGUCCCAUUUUACAGAGUACAGAGAACUUUAAAGGUUGUAGAGAUCUUGACCUGUGGGUGAGGAAAGGAGAAGGAAGGAGAAGAAGAGCUCCGAUUCCAUAAGAAUAUACGAGGAAGACGUAUGAGCUCAUUCCCUUUGAGCUCGCCGCUUUGAACAGAGUAUUCAUUCCGACGUCUGAGAUCACAACCGCCACCAUCGCCGUCAUGAUCCAGCCGUCUCUCUGACAUAAUCUCCCAGCCAUCGUUGUCUGAUUCUCUUCCUUUGGUACUUGGAAGCUUUCUCUGAAUCUGGAACUCUUUUCGUGAGGCGCUUGACCAAUGUUAUUAUCUUGUACUUAUCAAACUUAAAACUAUUUUAUUAGGAAAAUAAGACCUUCACGUUUAUGGGAUUUGACCAAGUUCCAAUUAUCAUGGAUGUCAUAAUCAUUAUUGUGCAGCUUAAUUAAGUUAAGAUACAUACUUCAGAUCCAUAAAAUUGUGAUUAUAGAAGAAACUUAAUUUCUAAAAUUAAAGAUCAUAUUUUGUCUCGUCAAAUAAAUUUAAAAGACAUUCACAUAUGAAAUUUUCAGACAUAUAUUAUAGAGCUAUCUCGACUGAUUGAUGAUAGUUUAGACAUUCUCAUAAUUCAUGUAACUUUCAAAGAAUGGAGCCUUUUCUGGACCUGAUGAUGGACAAUCAGUGCCAGUUUCGAUGGGAUCAUCCGCCUUGUUGUCAUCUUCAACCAUGGGCACUUCCUUGGCUUUGCCCCACAUCACCGUGUAAACCCGGUCGUUAUUACACUUUGCCCUGAUCAAACUGAGAUCAAGCACAUAAAUGGAAACAAAAGAGCCAAAGAAAAUGAAUGAACCUUUAGCCAUUGGGUGGGGNNNNNNNNNNNNNNNNNNNNAGGGGUGAUGUGAUUUGGAAGUAUUAUUUUUAAUACUUCUUAUAACCACUAGGUUUAAGAUUAAGGUCUAACUAAUCAUGGAUUCACUUGUUACUACGUAAAUUACGCAAUAGUCAAGUUGUAUUCACUAGACAUCAAGACCAUCCGCUCACCAAUAUUGCAAACCUACUAGUUGAUGUACAAACUGUGAGUUUUAUUCACCUGCCAAAGUAGAGAGAAUCCCGGAGGAAGACAACUCCCAUUGCUAUGUUAUAAUUUCAAUACCAAAACACAUGGUUAGGCCCAGAGCCGGUCCUUGCUAAUCCAGGAUCAGAAACAAAUUUAAAAAAGUUAGUUUUUCAGUGUCAGUAAUUAUUGUACGUUGUAGUAUUUGCUAACUAACAAACACAUGAAAAUUCUCAGGAAAACCCCUAUUAAUGAUAACAAUGGUCAAUGAUUGUCAAUAUGAUUCAUGAUGACAUAGCGAGAAAAGAGAAAACGUACCAUUGUGAAAGAAAACAAUCUCUACAAAAAGUCAAAAUAAGAAAGAAAAUAUUGCAUAAUGGAAAAAUUCAAUUAACACAAACAUUUUUCAGAAACUAUCCAGUAUCCGGUGAGGAACAGGAGAACUGAUGACCUGCAAGAUCUGAACAAUCUCCGCCAUUGUAGGCCUAUUUGAAGGAAUCUGAGAAGUACAGACAAGAGCAAGUUUCAGAACAGGCAAAACCUCAUCCUCAGAGUAUUCUUCCUCCAUGGUAGGAUCAAUACACUCCAACACAUUCCCUUGUUCCAACAAAACUCGGACAUGAUCGCUAAGUAUCACAAAGCUAUCUUCACCAUACUCCACGGGCCUCCGACCAGUCACGAGUUCGAGUAUAAGAACUCCAAACCCGUAAACAUCACAUUUCUCGUUGACCCUUAAGUUCUGACACUCUAACUCAGGCGCUACGUAACCUAAAGCGUUCUGAAACCUGUUGGUGUUCAUCGUGUUCCCGUCUUGUGUUGUUAGAAGACGAGCUAGUCCGAAGUCAGAGAUUUUAGGGUUGUAUUUUUCGUCGAGGAGGAUGUUGGUUGGCUUCAGGUUGAAGUGGACGGUUGCUGGACGGAACGUGUGGUGGAGAUAAGCGAGUCCUUUGGCUGUACCGAGUAUGAUUCUGUAUCUUGCAUCCCAAGGAAGUGGCGGUGUCGAGGGCUCCCUUUCGUGUAACUUGGACUGCAAGUUACCGUUAGGGAUGUAUUCCGAUACUAGAAGCUGCAUCUCCGGUGUCCAGUAAUACCCUUUCAUGGAGACUAGAUUAGGGUGCUUUGCUUUGGCCAAGAUCCGGACUUCUCGAUCAAAAUCUUCUAGGUUUUCGAUAAUCGGGGAUGGAACAAGUUUCUUGACGGCCAAGUUUCUCCCCUGGUCUCCUAAUGGUGCCUUGUAGACCGUACCAAAGACUCCUUCGCCUAUUCUUGAAGCUUUAUUGAGAACAGACUCAGGGUUUCUAGCGAACUCUUGAGAUGAAGACGAGGACCGCGAAGUUCUUGAGUUUAACAGAACAAGUUUCCCUGCCUCUAAGCUUCUUCCUGAUCUUGAAGACCCUGAGAAAAUGCUCUCCAACGCGGUGUCAACAAAGGCAAGUCUCCUUCUCACCGAUGCGUUAAGCAGCGUUAUGAUUAUGACUCCUGAGACGAUGAGUAUAGCUGCUGAUAUAGCUACAAUCACUGAAACACUAAGGAACAUUCCACCAUGGAACUUGCUUGGUCGGUUUCCGGAUGCUUCCUCGUUACUAUUACCGUUCCUGUAGAAGUUGGGAUCAAUGACAAGAGGCUUUGGAACAUUCAGUGUGCAAGGUCCUCUCAGCAACGGUGAACAAAUGCCUAAGUUUCCUUGAAGAGAACUCUGGUCUAAGCUCUGGAACACACCUCCUGAGGGUAACCUUCCGAUGAGUCGGUUAAACGAUAUGUUAACCAGUAGCAGAUUCUGCAACUUUCCUAGCUCUUUUGGUAUUUCACCGCUUAGCUUAUUGGCUUCUAGCUUUAGAAUCUUUAGCUCUUCUAAGUUUGAAAGCGACUUGGGGAUAGGACCAGUAAGAUUGUUAUGUGACAAACUCCUACAAAAAGAAAAAUUAUAAUUGUUAAGUAGAAAACAUUUGUAAUAAAUAAAAUAAGUAUAAUUGUGCAUAAUGUCUAAUGUAAUAUUACUCGUAGUUUGUGAUAGUACAAUGAACCGUUGUUAAAAAAGAUGAAACAUGAGUUAGUAGAGACUUACAACAAUUUAAGAGAAGAGCAGUUUCCAAUUCCUUCCGGUAUAGAACCGGUUAGUGAGUUACCAUCCAGCUGAAGUAUCUGUAGACUCUGUGCCUCACAUAUAUCAGCUGGAACCGAACCGAUCAACGCACCGUUCCUUAGAUCCAAAACUGUUAGGUUCUGUAGAAACUCUAUUUCUGGAGGAACUCUUGUGUUGAAAUGGUUCCAUGACAAGUUGAGGUAUCUCAAGUUGCUGAAUAGCCCUACUUCACCAGGUAUGUUUCCAGUGAGACUAUUACGCGAAAGAUCAAGCCUCACAAGUGACUCAAAUAGCCUGCUUGACCCUCUCGGGAUCGAACCGGUUAAACCGUUACCUGAAAAAUCCAUUUCUUGCAAACCAAGAUCAAAUAAACCAUCCGGAAUGCUACCGGUGAAGCCAUUGCCUUUGAGCUGAACAACCAUAAGCUCUUUGCAAGACUCCAAAGAUUCCGGAAUCUCGCUGGAGAGUUUGUUAUCAGACAAGAUCAGAGCCUUUAGAGACCUCAAGUUACUUAUCGAAGAAGGUAGCUUUCCGGUUAACACAUUGCUGGAGACAUCCAAAUGUACUAAACCGGUCAUGUUACCGAUCCAAACCGGGAAGCCACCGGAGAGCAUGUUCUUGGAUAAAUCUAAAUGAUUUAAAGAUCUCAGCCUCUGAAGAGUUGUCGGAAUCUCCCCGGAGAAACGGUUGAAACUGAGAUCAACUCUGUUUAAAUGAGGACACAGUCCAAUGUCCGAAGGCAAUGAUCCUGAGAACUGGUUCCCUUGUAAGUGCAACACUUUCAAGUUAUGCACAUAGAGCAUCCCCAACGGUAUCGAACCAGAGAGAGCGUUGAACGAUAGAUCUAACGUUCUUAGCCUCUCGAGCUUCCAGAAUCCAGACACGAAGCUAGGGCUUCCGGAGAAACGGUUGCUUGAGAGGUUGAGACUGUUCAAAACAGAGCAUCGAAACAGAGCACUCGGGAUUUGACCUUCGAGACGGUUGCGAGAGAGCGAGAGAUGCCUGAGGGAUGAACAGUUGGUGAAGACAUCGUCAGAGAGUGUACCGGAGAAGGAGUUUCCGAUUAAGUCGAGGUGUCUCAAGGAGGUGAGAGAAGAUGGGAUUUGACCGGAGAGGCUGUUGUGGCUAAGAUCAAGCUUCUGAAGACGGUUGUUGUUCGAGAGAGCGGCGAUGUUUCCGGUUAAGUUGUUGUUGGAGAGUGAGAGAACCUUCAGAUGCUGAAGCUUUUGGAUCCCGCGACCGAUCUUUCCGGUUAGGGAUAAACCGGAGAGGGAAAGCUCGGUGACGCGAGAUGUUUUGGGGUUGCAUUUGACGUAGGUCCACGAGCAAGGAGAGAUGUCGUCUUCGUUCCAAGAGGAUAGGUGUGAAGAUGGGUCGUGAAGGUCUGAUUUGAAGACGAUGAGACCCAACACGUCGUCGUUUAGUUGGGUUGAGUCAAGAUCACCGUUGAUGAGUGAUAUCAAUGUCACUGCGAGGAACAGAGUUAAUGAGAUCACUUUUCUUCUGUGUUCGCCCAUUAUGGUGGAUUGUGAGAAUGUCUCUCUCUCUCUCGGUCUUGAUGUGUUGAGAGAUUGAGCUAAUUUGAUAGGGGGAAGAGAGAGAGAGAGUUAUGGCAUCUUGAUGAUAGAUAGAUGAGAGAGAGAGAAGAGAAGAGAAGAGUUGUCAAUGGGUAAGAAACUCGAAGUGACUGUAAGAUUCUGAAGUUAGCUAGAAGACAAGAACUAGAUCGAGUUACAAAUGAUCCCUGCCAAAAUGGACCACAUGUUUUGCUCCGGUCUAACCAAAACUUUCCGGUUUAUUCGAUUUUCUCUGAAUGGAUGUGUCUUCACGUGUACAUAGUAAAAUGUAGAUAGCUCAGACCAUUCUAACUAAUAGCAUGUUACGUUAGUAGUUGUUUUAAACACCUAAACUGAUACAAAUCACAAUCAUUGGAACAGAGAUGAAUUAUAUUUCUACAUUAUACGUACGAUAGUAAUUAACACGUUAGGUGAGAAAUUUAGAACUACAAAACAAUAGUCGCAAGUUAAUAUGAGAAGAAAUAUAAGUUCUUUAGAUGUCCACAUUUAGAAAAUAGUAUCAUCUUAUAAAAACAAGUCACGGGUCGGGAAAUGUUUAAAAUCAUAAAGAUACACAUGUCCCGAAAGCUGUUUUAUCUAUUUGUUUACUUGCAUAUGUAGUGCAAAACAUCUUUAGUUAACUAUGAUUUGCAGACUGGAAUAUAAACUAAUUUGAUGUUUACAACCGGUCAAUUGAAUAUUAUAGUUGUCAAGUUUGUAUCCAAUAGAUAACUCAUGAUCAUUACAAUAAAAUCAUUGGGCAUGCAACCAUCAUCUCUUUAUAUAUCAUUGCCCUGAUUUGCACGUAAUCAUAGAGUAGAAAGAUAUAUCACGAGAAAAGGAAGAGAUGAGAUAAAAAUCAUAAAAUGGUAUGGUCAAUAGAGAAAGAGACCUAUGCAUUUUAGAAUCCAAAUAAAAUAAAAUAAAAAGAGAAAGAAGAAAAGAACAA
Molecule: long non-coding RNA, 79989 nt
Filed under: Brassica napus (rape)
Lineage: Eukaryota; Viridiplantae; Streptophyta; Magnoliopsida; Brassicales; Brassicaceae
Description: long non-coding RNA (BNAP_LNC005520)
Source: RNAcentral